RNAcentral lists this long non-coding RNA (53785 nucleotides) under Selaginella moellendorffii. Its description in RNAcentral is "long non-coding RNA (SMOE_LNC000271)". The record is from RNAcentral. Lineage: Eukaryota; Viridiplantae; Streptophyta; Lycopodiopsida; Selaginellales; Selaginellaceae.
AAAUUGGCUAGGUGCCAAGGAUGGAAAUGGUAACACAUGUGAGUGUUACUUUACAAAAUGGUUUACCGUUCGAUGAGGACAUCGAACUUCGUCUAUGGGUGGUGGAGUUGUGAGACACAAAAUCCCUAGGCCCCAAAGUGGAGCCGGAAAGAGUGCCACGUGGUAGUGGCUGAAGCGAGAGCCAAACGAGCGUAACACGUUUGGACCAAAAGCUCCGACUUGAAAAGUCAAGAGCGGGAGUGGAACUCCCAACAAAGUGUUCAAGGAAUGAGCACGAAGCGAGCAAUAAGCGAGGCUCCAAAAAGGGACCCAAAGGGACCAACACAUGACACGUGGAAGUGUCCGAGAUGGACCCGAGUUGGAGUCCGAAGUGGAGUCCGAGUUGGAGUCCGAGAUGGUGUCCGAGAUGGUGUCCGAGAUGGAGUCCGAGAUGGAGUCCGAGGUGGAGUCUGAGAUGGAGUCCGAGAUGGAGUCCGAGGUGGAGUCCGAGGUGGAGUCCGAGGUGGAGUCCGAGGUGGACCCGAGAUGGACCCGAGAUGGAGUCCAAGGUGGAGUCCGAGGUGGACCCGAAAUGGACCCGAAAUGGAGUCCGAGAUGGAGUCCGAGAUGGACCCGAGAUGGGACCCGAGAUGGACCCGAGACAGAGUCCGAGGUGGACCCGAGACGGAGUCCGAGGUGGAGUCCGAGAUGGAGUCCGAGAUGGAGUCCGAGUUGGAGUCCGAGUUGGAGUCCAAGAUGGACCCGAGAUGGAGUCCAAAGUCGAGACCGGGACCGAGACCGAGACCGGGACCGAGACCGAGACCGAGACCGAGACCGAGAUCGGGACCGAGACCGAGACCGAGGCCGAGCCUAAGUCCAAGUCCGAGUCCGGAGCCUGAGAGGGUGAAAGCCCAAAGCGUUCGUCUCCCAGACCCUGGGGGGUUUGGUGAGCUCCAAAAGUAUAGUAGGGGGAGGACUGCAGUGGAGCCAGUUUGGCCAGGAAAGGCCAGUUUGGCCCAGGAAGGCCGGACCCAGUGUUGGGUGAUGAGCUGCUCACUGGGAAGUCCAAGACUAGAGUGAACACAGACCGACAAGCGGGGUAGCUUGGUGAAGUGUUCAAGAGCCGGCUCUAGUUCCCCCGGGAGAUCGACUGGCCGAUGCUCCCAGUCCAAGUGUGGGUGGCACUACCUACUUGGAUACCUGGUGUGGCUCAACGGAACCCGCUCUAAGCCCAUGGCUAGAGCACCCAAGGGCAGAAGGCGAGGAGAGUACCCAGGUGGCUCGCGUAAGGCCACGGUGUUCCGAAAUGUUGUCCCAAAGGCCCAGACUGUGGAAAGGAAGAGGAGCAGUCCUCUGAGGUAGUGACCAAGGACACAAUCGUGUGGUGAGGAAGUCCCAGAGGACCGUGGGACUUAGUGGCCGGGCCUGUGGGUCUCGAUCCAGUGGCAGUGUUGGCAAACACGGCCAGGGGCAGAAAGGGACUUAGUGGGGACUGACAGAGGGAUAUUGGGGAAGGCUAUUCCCCUUGUCGGUGGGCAUCCUAAGGAUGCUAAGGAGUGGAUCUGAGAUGACCACUCAUGGAUGGUUUGCCUAGUCUUGGAGAGCCAAGACGGUGAUGCAAGUGGUAUUGGACUACCAGUGUGGCAAAGGUGAUUGGGCAUGGCCUUAGCGUAACGGGCUGUUAUGUCGGUGAUACCUUUGAGUGUCGGUCGUGGGAUCGGACACGUGGAGCACUUGGACCAAGUGCAAAUGUUGAGUGGCAUGGAUACCAUUCUUGGGGCUAGCAAGUCCCAAGUCCUGGAUUGGACUUAUGGAGGUUGUGAAUGAGACUCCUCCAAGUGGUCAGAGGGGUGGUUAAGUGACUAAAGUAGAAUGGAAAAUUUAGUCGCUUACAGAUGCAAGCGUGAGCGCGAAUACGAAGCAAAAUGCAAAACCUAACCUCACACGCGCGAAAUGUCACAACGGUUGGUAAUCCCGCCAUGUCAUCAUUCCUCGGACUUGGGCGCCACCAUUAAUUUCUGGAUUGCCGCGCACAUGCAAGCACGCAAAAUCCAAAAGAAAUCCGCAACGUCAUCAUUCCUCGGACUGCAUGCACGCGAAAUCCAAAAGAAAGAUCAUGAUUGGGAUAUCAUUUAAUACCCUCGCUAUAUUUAUACCAUGCAUGAUUGGAUAUUCCAAAGCAUCUUGUAUUUCCAAAAAUGGCAGAUGUUCAGCUAAAUAAAGAAAUUCUAUCUGUUUCUAUUUUUCUCUCAAAUCAAUAUUAUAGCGUGUGGGCUCAUGCAAUUUUGAACCAAAGAAACCCAAAAAACGUUGGACCCAAAAUAUUUUGAAAAAACCCAAAAAACCCUAAACAUUUUAAACCCAAAAAUCCAGGCAUCCUGUGGCGUUAUUCCUUGAAUGGCAUGUGGGCGCAUGCCAUUUUCAGGGCCAAAUGCUGAAUGGAGAAAAAUUCCCUUUCAGUGCAAAUGUUGCAAAAGGCAGAUGCCAAGCACAAAGGACUGUAACUACCUCACAUGACACAGAUAAACUUUUCUCUAUUUGGCAAAGAUAAACUUUAUAGCGUGUGGGCUCAUGCAAUUUUGAACCCAAAAAAUGCACCAAAAAAUUCUCGGCGUCAUCUGGCGUUAUCUCUUGAAUGGCGUGGGGCCGCAUGCCAUUUUCAGAGGCACAUAGGAGUAUAUUCCUAAAAUAUUCUGACACACGCGAGAUUUUUUUGAGUUUUCUGGAGAUCCAACCGUUAGAUCGCAACUAGAUUUUACAGAAUGGUAUACAAUGUCCUUGUUGAUGACCCUGCAAAGAAGCAUUUCGAUCGGACACCACAUGAGACCACACGAGCCUUACAAUGUUUCAGGGGUAUUUGCCAUAGAUCCGACCGUUAUUUUGCUCCAAGAUUUUACAAUUUGGUGUGCAUUGACCUUUCCAUCGACAUUGCAAAGGGACAUCACAAUCAGAUGCGGGAUCACAAGAAACUAACUUCACUAACUCUGGUUUCACCAAGAUCUACAUAAGGAGUUAUGAAAUGAAAGGACCCUCUCUAUUGAAAUGUGUUUAUGGUCCUAGGGGCAUUGUGACAUAUCAAAGGAUUUUACAUCAAGUUCUGUAUUUAUAUGUUUAUCAAGCUACUGAAUUGCUAAACCCUAAACCGUAAACCCUAAACAUGUGGCAAAUGCUGCGUGAAGAAAGAUGCCCUUUCUGGGCAAAUGCUGUAAGAGGCAGAUGCCGAGCAGAUGUAUCUCAGGCUAGUGAAGGGGACAAACGAAAGCUAGCUAUAAACAUGACGGGAUGCAAAUAGAUUACUAGGCUGGUCCUGCGAAAAUCAAAAACCAUAAUUGAAAACAUUGAAAAUGCAAAAAGAAAGGUUUAUAAUAUUUUUGAAUUUUAAGCAACCAAAGGAAUGUAAGUAGGGCAUGUGUUUGUAAGUUUAAAAAUGCCUCAACCACUUAAAUUCCCAAGUAAAUAAAGCUGUUUCUAUUUUUGGUACAAGUAAACUUUAUAGCGUGUGGGCUCAUGCAAUUUUGAACCCAAAAAUGCACCAAAAAAUGCUCGACUAGCAUUAUUCUUUGAAUGGCGUGUGGCCUUAUAUUGCCAUAAAUGGACGUACACACACAGCAUAAUUAUUCCUUUACACGGCAAAUAAUCUUGGCACGGAUCGCUGACAUGGCAUGGCAAAGUUCGAAUCACUGACAUGGCACAGCUGGAUCGAGGCAAGGACAUGAUGUGACAAAGUUCAACCUCCGACAGAAAAGUCUAGAAGCUACUCAGUUUGAAAUUUGUCAGAGGAAUCAUAAAAUUUGGUUUGUCAGAGGAUUUGAUGUGACGUUCAAGCGUGUGUUAUUUUUGAAUUCUCGAACUCAUUCCUAGGUCUAUCAUUUUUGUGCACCGUGUUCUUGGUUCCGCUGAGCGCAGUGAGCGCUGCUUGUGUAAGCGGCGUUGUGGGCUGUGGUUUAUGCGUCUACGAGCGGUUGCGGCAUUGCGAGCGCCAUUGCGAGCAGCAGUUUAUGCGAGUGGCAGUUUGUGCGAGCGGCGCUACAAGCAGUUGCGGUGUUGCGAGCGGCGCUACAAGUAGUUGCGGUGUUGCGAGCGGCACUGUCUUUGGUGUGGCUACCGCUUCCUCUUGAUAUUCGGCACUUGUGCUUCCUGGUAUGUUCACCAUGGAAUGGCUUAGGACCACAUUUAGAAAUGGCAUGAGGCCACAUGCCAUCUUGGGCCUUUGCAAUUUCAUGGCUAGCGUAUUGUUAUGUAUGUUUUUACUUGCCUGCAGCUGUGUGUAUAUCAAGAUGGCAUGAGGCCUCAUGCCAAUUUUGUGAAUGCGAAAUUUCACGUGGGUGUCAAUAGCAUGUUUGAAUAAUGGCAUGUGGCCUCAUGCUAUUGAGGUUGUUUGGUAUGUUAUGAUUUAGGCCAUUCUCCAAUCAUUUUUUGUAUGGUCUUAACUUCUUUUCUGCACUUUCAGAAUGGCCUUCAGGGUUGGGGAAAAGGUUUACAUUUUGAAUGGUGGGAAGAGAGUUGAAAAAGGGACCCUUGUGUCUAUGGAUCGGAACUUUGUUAUACAUUGUCAAAGGCUUGGGGAAGGCAAUGCUGCUGUAUCAGUAGAGACUGUCUUCGAUGGGAAUGUGGUCGCUAUUGAAUGAGGAGAGAUGGUCGUCGGGGUAAAUGUUGUUGUUGCCUUGAAAAAUCUUCAGAAGAAAGCAGAUGUUGGGGACAGCGCAAGUGCGACGCAUGUUCCCUCCGUGGAUCUUAAGAACCGUGCUACAUGGAUUCAGGCGAAGGUGUUUCUAAACAACCCCGAGGGGGAGGUGGUAGCUGAGGGCUUAGCCACAGUUGUCAAUCCAAGAGAUGCGGUUGCUAAUCAAGAAUUGGGCUGGGAUGAUAUUGGAGUUGCAAUUUUAGAGGUUGUUGACACAGAAGAAAACAGUCUGACUAUUGGAAGCAUUGUGCGGUGGAAAUUGAGGCACUUAGUGUUUGAGAAUGUGAAAGAUUCACAAUCAAACACCACUACAACUGAUGACAGAACAUCUCUUCAUGGGAAAAGAAAGUACACCUUCCUAAAGCGCAGCCAAAGGGAUCUGAGCAACGAACCGAAAAGGCAGAAAAUGGCGAUGGAGGUUCGAAUGGUCUCAACAGUUGCUUGUUGCAAGAGGAGGUGCUGUCAACAUGCUGAUUGGGAUGCUAUUGAAGAGGAGAGAGCAAGAUACAAAACAUUGUCCUGGAAGGCAGCUCGCAAUUUUGUGUAUGAGGCAUUACGGUCAUCUGUUGAUGCUUCAGAACAUCAGGUGGGGGGCAUGGUCUUCCAGAGGGGUUUGGUCUGCAUGAAGGCAUGGAGAAUCAUUUAUGGAGUCCCUCGAACCACAUUCUACAAAAUCAAAACUGAGUUCAAGGAACAAAGGGUUCAACAGGCAGUCCAUGGGAACGACGGUACGCACAAAACCAGGGGUCAUGUUGUAUAUGGAGAGGCAAUCUUCAAGAGGUUUGUCGAGACAUGUAGCGAGCAGCAACCACAUAAAACCCGCCUCUUGGAAGAUGGAACACGAAACACCCAACGAGUUCUCCCUUCCAUGUAUACCAAGGGGGCCAUAUUGGAAGAUGUGAAUCGGGAACUCCAGAGUAAUGGCUACAGAAAGCUGAGCCAAUCUAGAUUUAGUAGAUUGUGGAGCAACAGGUUCAGGGAUGUGAGUAUAGGAAAGUACUCCAGCUUUUCAAAGUGUGACAAGUGCACUGCUAUCAAAAUGGCUUUGUCGAAGAAUUCUUGCAGCGCUCAAGAGCGAGAGAUGUUGGUUAGAAGGCGGCUCGACCACAACAUCGAGCAGAGAAGCUGCAGGACUGCAUAUUAUCAUAACAGGAUUCUCUCCAUGGAGAGACCUGACUCUUACCUCUGCAUCAUCCACGACAAAAUGGACCAGAAAAAGACGUGCUUACCUCGACUCAAUCCUGCCCCCAAGGCAAUCUCUUCAUCCAUGCAGCUGCCUGUGUCUCUGUUUGGCAUAAUCGCUCAUGGGCAUGGUGCCCAGAACUAUGGGAACUUCUUUGUACCUCUAUGGGGUGGCAGGGGUGCAAACAUGAUGAUUGCGUCCCUAGCAAAACACUUAAGGUCUCUGCAAAGUGCGCAGACUAAGCUGAACGGCCAACCCUUGCAUAAGGCCCUUGUCGAUCGAACCCCAUACAGGGUUCAGCUGGAGGAGGAGCAAAGGCUUGCAGUAUCGCGUGGGGCCCCAUGCCAUCCCAGUGAAUAUGUUGGCCGUCAGAUUGUAGGGUUAUCACGUGAGGCCUCAUGCCAUUCCGACGAGGCUGGUCGCCCGGUGAAUGCACAGCCUCAUCCAAACGAAGCAGAAUCUCAAGGAAGUUCUUGCGGCUGAUGUGGCCUUCCACCCCAUCUUCUGCUCCAAACAGACAAUGCUGGCAGUGAGAACAAAAACAUGUACGUCUUCGCGUACUUGGCGAUGCUUGUUGCCAAAGGCAUAUUUGAAACGGUUACACUUGGCUUUCUCAUGGUUGGGCACACUCAUGAAGACGUCGAUGCCAUGUUCAGUCACCUGGCAGAGUCCCUCCGGUGAUCCAAUGUCCUCACCCUCCCACAACUCUACGAUGAAUUCCAAAAUUGCAUCAAAGGCACUGUUGAAGUUGCACUUCUGACAGAGGUUCCAGACUUUAAGGGGUUUGUAAGAGGCUACAUCAGGGACGGAUCCGAAAUGCUGAUUGGCCACUCCAAGCCUCUUCAGUUUCAUUUCAGCAUGUGUGACGGUGCUCCAGUGAUGAGGUACAAGAUGAGAGAAUGGGACACAGUGUGGCUGCCAGUGGACAGCAUUGAACUCUUCAAGAGAGAUCCCAUAACUGGGGAACCUAUGAUUCCUCAGGGUUCCCCACGGCCGAUGCACCCGGAUGGACUCAAAGACCAGGAAAGUAUAGUGGCCGGGAUUAGACAGCAUAUUGCCUUCUGGAAGAGGGGGUUGGUGUUUGGUGGAGAAUCCUAUUUUCAGAGGUGCAAGCCUUUGCUUGAAUACUGGGAGAAGAUUAUAUCUGCUAUCCAAAAUGGGCCGGUUGUAUAUGAAGAAUUGGAAAAGUCCUUUUGGCCAGAACCCAAAGCACCAGAUAGUAGCGGAACAAUGUCCUCUGGAAAUGCAGUGACAGAUAACGAUGUUGAGGAUCACUAUUGUGGGCCGAGGAACAAGAAGCCGGAUUCAGCAUUCAAUCCAGUACAGGUCUGCAAAGGAAUGGUCGUGCUUGUCAGACCCAAUAAUAAAAAACAAAUGAUAUGGGUGGGGCACUACAUCACUGAUGCAGAGGAGGACGCGAAAACUAACUCCUUCAAUGUAACUGUGGAGUGGUUCAAGCCAAGUUCUAGAUAUACGAAGGAUUGCCUAGAAAAGAGAUGGGUGCUGAAUCCAAGGGAUCCUAGCAUGAGCAUAUCGGUGGAUAAUGUUGUGCAUGGUUGGAUGCAGAAGCAAAGUGCCACCAUCACCUUGCCAGACCAUGCAAGAGAUGCAGCAAGAGCAUUCAUAACCCGGGUUCAAGGUGAGAUUCAUGAAUAUUCCUUUACUAAGUUUCUAAUGUAUUUUAUUUCAAGGUGAACAAUCCGAAUCUGAAUCAGAGGAGGCGUGAUGGCAUAUGGCCUUACGCCAUUCCUAGGUGAGAUGAUACAAAUAACAAAUAUAAAUUCUUAGUUGUUCUAGCAAAUCUUACUUAAAGUUCAAGGUGAACAAGCCGAAUAUGAAUUCAUCGGAUUGUUAUAACAAAUUGCGAGGUGAUGGCAUGAGGCGAUACGCCAUUUGAGAGUGGUAGCCAUUCCUAUAUGAGGUGAGUGAAGUAUUUAUUAGAAAUACCUCAUUCAAUUGUGCACUUCUAAGUCUUGGUCCACUUAGUACUGUUUGCAUGUUUUUAUUUUAAUUCUUUCUCUAAAAUGUUAUUUAGCAUGUGGCUUCAUGCCAUUGCUCUCCACAAUCAUGCAUUGAAUUUCUAUCCUUGCAUAAUACUUCUCCAUAUAUAUAGUAUGUGCGCACAUGUGAUAUGGUUCAUUAGGCCUGAUAUAGUGUGUGAGGUAAAACAAAGAUGAUGUGACAUAUGCAUUUACCAAUCACACGUGCAUAAAUCUAAUAAUAUGGCAUAUGGCCCAUAUUAAUGGCACAUAAACCCAUAUUGUGGGCUUACGUGCUUUAUGUACCAUCAUUCCCUUGCAGCGUGUGUGUUGGUUUCCUUUUAUAACACAACGAACUCCAUAUUUUAGGGUGAAGAGCGUUCUCAUGGCAAGCACAAAAUCUGUAAGUGAGGCAGAAAAGGAGACGGAGAAGGAGAUAGGUGAAGAUGUAGAAUAUAUAAGUCUUCCAAACUCCCCAUACUAUACUCUAGGUGAUCAUUUUUCUGAACAAACGGCAACAUUAACAACUAUCGAGAACGCCCCAGUAACGUCAGAGACAACAAUCCAAAGCAAAACAACUGACCCGGAGAAGGAUGAUAGUACCGCUGAGAGUACCAAAAAGGAGGUGUCCACUAGCGCUUAGGCUUAUAAUGGCGUGUGCCUUCAUGCCAUUUACUUGAUCACCAAAUACCUUUUUCCCUUUGCACUAGUAUAUCUUAAUACCGGUCUGAGAAAUAGAAUGGCAUGUGCCCUCAGGCCUUUUACUAAAUCACCUUUGAAAGAAAUGCAAGCCUCUAUGUCGUAAAAAAAAGGUACUAGAUAAAUUCCUUAAUAAUAUGAAUGUUAUUUAGUUUCAUGAAAAUACACUAAGGGUCAAAUGAGUUAAAUGACUUCUCCAGACUAGCAAUGCCUCUUGCUACACCUUCACAAUUAGAUUCGUUAGAAAAAGAUAACAUUGAAUAAUAUCUAAAUGUUCUCACCAUUAAGUUAUAUGUCUGGCUAAUAGGAAUGACGUUCAUCUUGGAAAGCUCACCACACGCUCAAUGAACAAACAAAUAGUGUGUGCGCGCAUGCCAUCGCUCUUCUUUAGCUUCAGAUUCGGCUUGUUCACCUUGACAAUGAGAUUUAUUAUACAACCAGAUGGACACAGUUUGGAUAUAAAGUCACCGCGCUAGUCACCAUGCCCCAGAUAUGUCUAGCCCCUGGACAAAAAACAUAUAAUUUCACGUCAUUUUCAAAUACUUGAAAAUUUGUACCUAGUCCCAUUUUACUGAAUAAAUCCCACUUUAACGAAAUAGAGCUUUCAAGUAGUAAUAGUAAAGUUCUCUAGAAAAGAAUUAAGCAUUGUAACCCAAGUCUUCCAAUAGUAAGCUUAAACAAGAUGGUAUAACACUUCAUCACUAUCCAUCCCACCACUCACCAUUUGUAAGACCAUCAUUUCCAAUAUGCAUCAAGGUAAGGACUUUUAAUUGCAUAUUGUGAAUAUGAGUAAUGAGUCACACCUUGUUGCAAAUUAUUUCUUUAAGAAAAGAAAAUGAUUUACAUGUUUGAUCCUUUGUCCUUGAGGACUCUUUUUCUGAUCUCAUCUUUGACUAAACCUUAAGCUUGCUUUAGUCUAAUUUAAGAAAAGUUUAUAAGAGAGCACGGCAAUAACUACUAAAACUAAUAGACUAAUCCCUAUAGUCUUGAUUGAUCCACUUGUAAUCAUGCAUAGGAAGGAUCCACUAGAAUCGUGAUAAACAGCUACGAACCAACCUAUUUGCCACUCAUAGCAAACCUAAGAGAGGUUUAUUUUUACCAACAGUACAUGGAACAAUUAUGGGGAAUUUUUUUCAUGGAAAAAAAUUUGAACCACUAAUAGGCUAACAUUAAUCCUGCCAACUCAAAGUGUAAUCUUGAGUUACUAAUGUGCUUCUUUCAUGAGCCCAAAUGCAAACUCGUGCUAAUGUGCUUCACUCACAACACUAAGUGCAAACUCGUGCAAACAAAGCAUCUCAAUUUAUCCUAUGAGCCCAAGAGGAAGCUCACACAAUAUGGUACAAAAAGGUAAUCAAAAUCCAUACCCAAAGAAUAAAUGUGAAGUCUUAGCACCCAAACGUGUACCCACUUGGAUCAUCAUUUUCAUCUUUGCAUAUGCAACGAAAUUAAUUGCCCAAUUUCAUUGGAUAGUACUCGUCAAGACUCAUCCUCUGAUACCAAAUGUAGCAUACGUGGUUUUUACCCUUUAUCCUAUGGUGAUUUACGAUAGGAUAAUCACAAAGUAAAACCUAAACCCUUUAUGUGCCACGUGUCAUAUGCCAUAUGUCACAUAUCAUGUGUCCAAAGGACAGUGGUGUGGAACCUAAGUUUCAGGGCCUUGGGCCAUUGAACAAAGGAACGGUGCUAAACUUCUAAGUGUGAGACACAAAAUCCCUAGGCCCCAAAGUGGAGCCGGAAGGGUGCCAUGUGGUAGUGGCCGAAGCGAAAGCCAAACGAGUGUGACACGUUUGAACCAAAAGCUCCGACUUGAAAGGUCGAGAGCGGGAGUGGGGCUCGAGGAACGAGUACAAAGCAAACAAUAAGUGAGGCUCCAAAAAGGGACCCAAAAGGACCAACACGUGACACGUGGAUGAGUCCGAGAUGGACCGAGACAAAAUUUGAGAUGGACCGAGACAAAGUCUGAGACAGAGUCCGAGAUGGAGUCCGAGAUGGAGUCCGAGGUGGACCGAGAUGGAGUCCGAGAUGGAGUCCGAGAUGGACCCGAGAUGGAGUCCGAGAUGGAGUCCGAGAUGGACCAAGACGAAAUCCAAGAUAGAGUCCGAGAUAGACCCAGACGAAGUCCAAGAUGGAGUCCGAGAUGGACCCGAGAUGGAAUCCGAGAUGGAGUCCGAAAAGGACCCGAUAUGGAGUCCGAGGUCGAGAUCGAGACUGGGACCGAGACCGAGAAUGAGACCAAGACCAAGUUCGAGACCGAGCCCGAGUCCGAGUCCGAGUCCGAGUCCGAGUCCGAGUCUGAGUCCGAGUCUGAGUCCGAGUUCGAGUCUGAGAGGUGAAAGCCCAAAGCGUUCGUCUCCCAGACCCUAGGGGGUUUGGUGAGCUCCAAAAGUAUAGUAGGGGGAGGACUGCAGUGGAGUCAGUUUGGCCAGGAAAGGCCAGUUUGGCCUAGGAAGGCUGUACCCAGUGUUGGGUGAUGAGCUGCCCACUGGAAAGCCAAGACUAGAGUGAACACAGACUGACAAGCGGGGUAGCUUGGUGAAGUGUUCAAAAGCCGACUCUAGUUCCCCCGGGAGAUCGACUGGCUGAUGCUCCCAAUCCAAGUGUGGGUGGCACUACCUACUUGGAUAUUAGGCGUGGCUCAACGGAACCUCGCUCUAAGCCCAUGGCUAGAGCACCCAAAGGUGGAAGGCAGGGAGAGUACCCACGGGGAUCGCGUAAAGCCACGGUGUUCCGAAAUGUUGUCCCAAAGGCCCAGAUUGUGGAAAGGAAGAGGAGUAGUCCUUUGGUGUAGUGACCAAGGAUAUAGUCAUGUGGUGAGGAAGUCCCAAAGGACUGUGGGACUUAGUGGUCGGGCCUAUAGGCCUUGAUCCAGUAGUAAUGUUGGCAAACAUGGCCAUGGGCAGAAAGGGACUUGGUGGGGACCAGAAAGGGGAUAUUGGGGAAGGCUAUUCCCCAUGUCUAUGGGCAUCCUAAGGAUGUUAAGGAGUGGAUCUGGGAUGAUCACUCAUGGACGGAUGGCCCAAUCUUUGAGAGAUGGGACUGUGGUGUAGGUGGUGUCAAACCACCGGUGUGACCAAGGUGAAUGGGCAUGGCUUUAGCAUAACAGGCCGAUGUGUCGGUGGUGCCUUGGGGUGUCGGUCAUGGGAUCGGACACAUGGAGCACUUGGACCAAGUGCAAAGGUUGAAUGGCGGGGAUGCCAUUCUCGGGGCUAGCAAGCCCAAGUCCAAAAUAGGACUUAUGGAGGUUGUGAGUGAGACUCCUCCAAGUGGUUGGAGGUGUGAUUAAGUGACUAAAGUAGAAUGGAAAAAUUUAGUCGUUUACAACUUGGUAUCGGAGCUGUUCCUUAGUUCGACUUUUAUUGGUGCUCAAGUAUAUCACUAUUGAUGUUGGCAUCGGAAGGUUCGAGGAGUGGGCCUAUCCUCGAGGAGUACUAGGUCAGGAAGACAUGGCUCUCCAUUACAAUUCAUGUGUGAACUUGUAGACAAAGUGGUGGAUAGAAAAGGGCCAAUAAUGGAACGACUUUGGGAUCUUGGGAACAGUGCAAGGUUUUCCUCAUUGAGUUGAGUAUGUGAUCCAAAUGAGCGUUUGACUCAGCAAAUUGGCUAAUGUAGUUGUGGUAAACAACUAUAGUUGGGAUCACGGGGAAGAUAGACACUCCAAAACGAUAAAGGAGUCACAAGAUUACCCUCAUAUAGUCGAGGUUGGUGUUAAUGAAUUUGAGACCGGAAUUAAUGACUGUGGGAGGUCAAAUACAGAAGAGAACACAAAUCCUUGAAAUGGUAGCCGGGGCUACCUCUAAUAAAUGCUAGAACAACCCAAGGAGUUGGGGGUGUAUUUAGAGGAUGAAUUGGUAUUCUCAUCACAUGGACAAGUGGUCCUAAGGGGCAAAAGGUUGCCCUAUCAAGUGUCGGAGUAACACUUGCAAAAGAUGGUCCUUGUAAGUAGGACAUGAAUACAAGGAGUUGUAUUCCAGUGAGCUAGCACCUCAAAAGUAGGACCUCAUAGGUUGUCGGAUUAACAAAGUCCAAAAGGUUGAAUAACUCUAAUAGAGUCAAGGAAUAAUCCUAAGGGCUUGAUGAAAGCAUUUGGACUGAGGUGUGUGGUGCCCCACGAAGAAUAAGGAGGAUCUUGAGAUCCAAGCAUGAGAGCAGUAUGCAUCUCAUUGAUGGCAAAAGGUGCCAUACUAAAGUCAUGGGAAAGAGUUUCCCGGAAGAAAACAACUUUGACACAAAGUUGUGCAUGAACUCUAUAGUGCAGUGCUAAUGGAUAAUUGGCAUAAAAGACAACCAUAUUGGUCUUGGCAAAAAUACCUGGACACAAGUAACAAGUGUCAUAAAGGUAGGCUCAUGGAGCCGAUGGUGUGGAGACACCAAAGGUGCUAAGGCAUGCUGCCUUAAGGUCAAGUUGGUGGGUUUGUGAGAACCCCUUCCAAAGGAAUCCAAAUGGAAAUGGGAAUAGUAUAGCCUAAGUUGGAAGGCAUGUGGUUAGAGUGUGGUGACCCAGAUAAUGAUGGAGGUGUGGAAGCACCAACAAUGAGUUGUAGGACUUGACAACUAUAAGGCAACUAAGCAAAAGGUGCAAAAUAAUUCAUAAACUGGUAGAAAGCAACUACCUAAGACUUUUUAUUGGGAUAAGGAAAUUUGAUAUACCCUUAUAAGGGAUAAAUUGCUUAUGUUGCGACAUAGUAAGUCAAUGUCGAAAAGGGAAUGCUCAUUGUCAAAGAGGCCAUCAUUGAGACACCCAAACACUCUAGAACACCAGAAGGGGGUAUUUGGUGUCCUGAGGGCAAUGGAUAAUGCCCAAGGGACAGAGUCCCUAGCGAAUGAAGGAUAGGAGGUGCUAUACAAAUGUCCAAGGUUGUGGAGAUAGGAGAAGUCCGUUUACCCAAAUUGGACAAAGCCAAAGAGGGAUUUUGGCAAGGCUAGUGAUGGGCAUAUAAAGGCCCAUAAGUAGCAACAGUGAUCCCAGUGUGUGGGAUUACAAGGUGAGUAAACUUGGAUUGAGGAACCACUCCCUAGGCUGUUGGGUAGGUUCAUCCCUAUGAAUACUUGCCAAGGCAUGGUAGAAAGUGCAAAGUUAUCUUCCUAGUCUGAAGGAGAAUAACCAAAGGAAAUGUAUGAGGCCAAAAGGCAAGUAGUAUAGAGAUAAAACCGAACCAUAGGAAUUGACAGGCAUGACCAAAGGUGGUUAUGCAAGUUGGGAGUGGAGAAUUAAGUGGGUGCUCAAGCAUGUUGUUACUAGUGACCGGGAUGCUAUGGAGAGUCUAAAGCAUGGGAUUGUCCAUGUUAGACUAUAUGGUAAUUGGAAAGCUUGCGAAAGGAAAGGCCUUAGCAAGCCAAGGAAUCCUACCAUACGGGAUCUGAGGGUUGAAGGCAUCGGCGGGCAUUUUGUGUCUCCAUCUUCUGGACUUAGGGAAACGUUGCCCGUUCGAGUACACAUCGGGUCCACCGUCACCGAUAUCGCCUUCAACAUCAUCAACAGCAAGUCCUCCUCUGUGGUGCUCGGUCUUCCUUGGUUCCAACUACAUCAGCCUCAGAUUUGUUGGAAGGACUUACAGCUCAUCUCUCCCACAUCACCAUCUCCCACGGCUUCCCCUGAUGUUCAUCGAGUCCGAAUCAGGAAAUGUUCCCUAAACUCAAGUCGGGGUUCUGUUCCUGACUCUACGAAGUUUUCAUCCUCUUCUUUUUCCUCUCUUCCAUCUUACACUGGACAGUAUCCUCGUCUCAUCAUUCCAUUUAGUCGUACCCUUUCUCCUAUCUCCACAAUCACUAUGAAAGAACUCCUUCAUGAAGAACCUCUUUUUCUUUUUGCUUUGCAUGUUUCUCCUGUCAGUCUUCUUGAGAAGUAUCAUGAUUUUGGGGAUGUGUUUGACAAGAAAAAAGCUAGUGUACUGCCUGUUCAUCAGCCUUAUGAUUGUCCCAUUGAUUUACAGUCACCUCCGUGGGGGCCUAUCUACGGGUUAUCCCCGUCCGAGCUUAAGGCCCUCAAAGAGUACGUGGAUGAGAACCUUGCCUCGGGCUACAUUCAGCAUUCGCAGUCCCCGGCUGGAGCGCCUGUCUUCUUUGUCAAGAAGAAGGAUGGGAGCUUGCGGCUAGUCAUCGACUACUGAGGUUUGAACAAGGUGACUGUUCGGAACCGUUAUCCGCUGCCCCUGAUCUCGGACCUGUUGGAACGCCUCGGCGGUGCCCACUUCUUCACCAAGAUCGACCUCUGUGGAGCAUACAACCUGAUCCAGAUCCGGCCUGGUGAUGAAUGGAAGACUGCAUUCCGAACCCGCUAUGGCCACUUCGAGUACACUGUCAUGCCAUUUGGCUUGACAAAUGCUCCAGCGGUUUUCCAACACAUGGCGAACGACGUUUUUCAGGAGUUUCUUGAUCAGAUGGUGAUCGUCUACCUCGAUGACAUCCUCAUCUACUCAAAAACUCAGGAGGAGCAUGACGAACAUGUUCGCAAGGUGCUAGCGAAGCUGCGAGAACACGGCCUAUACGCGAAGCUUGAGAAAUGUUCCUUUGAUCAGCAGUCUGUGGAGUUCCUUAGGUACAUUGUCACUCCUGAGGGUAUCACGAUGGAUCCUGCUAAAGUCAAGACUAUUCUCGAAUGGGAGCCUCCACAAUCAAUGUCGGACGUUCAGGUUUUCCUUGGCUUCGCCAACUUCUACCGCAAAUUCAUUGAUCACUACUCUGACAUUGUCCUUCCUCUCACACAUCUCACUCGCAAGGAUGUUCCCUUCUCUUGGUCUGCUGCUGCCCAACAGGCCUUCGACACACUCAAGGCGGCCUUCAGUUCUGCUCCUGUCUUGAUCCAUGCUGAUUCCUCACAACCUUUCUUCAUCGAGGCUGACGCCUCCGACUUUGCCAUUGGUGCUGUGCUGUCUCAACUCGGAGCGGAUCACGAACUUCAUCCGGUCACUUUCCCAUUCUCGGAAAUUCCAGCCUGCGGAGAUCAAUUACGAAAUCCACGACAAGGAGCUCCUUGCCAUCGUGCAUUCCUUUGGAGAGUGGCGCCAUUUCUUGGAGGGGGCGAGCCAUCAAACAACAGUCUGGACGGAUCACAAAAAUCUCGAGUACUUUGCCACUUCCCGAGUUUUAAGCCGUCGUCAAGCAAGGUGGGCACAAUUCCUGAGUCGGUUUGACUUUGUUAUCAAUUACAGACCUGGAAAGUUUCAAGGCCUUCCUGAUGCUCUUUCAAGGCACUCCUAUCUCAGUCUCAGGCCUGGUAAUCCUGCCUUCGAUCAACAGGAUCAAGUUAUCCUCGGUCCUGAUCGGCUUCAAGUUAUGGCAAUUUCCCUGGCCCCUCAGGACUCCUCCUUGAUGGAUGCAAUCAGAAACGAUCUUCAAUCCGAUGAUCUCGCUAGCAACAUUUUCCCCCAUCUUCAGGCUGGACACCCAGUGACUCCCGACUGCCGGCGAUUUGACGAGUUCGAGUUCUUAGAUGGCUUAUUGUACCGUGGGGAGCAGCUUUACGUUCCUGAAGGUGAUGCUCGAAGGUUGGUCCUGAUGGCGUGCCACGAUAGCCCGACUGUUGGUCACUUCGGCAUUGCGAAAACCUAUGAGCUAGUUGCACGGGACUUUUGGUGGCCUCACAUGGACGACUACAUCAAAGCUUUUGUUACCUCCUGUGACACUUGUGCCCGGAAUAAGGUACCUCGCCACCUUCCUUCAGGUUUGCUUCGUUCCCUUCCGGUCCCUUCAGGUCCUUGGGAAUCCAUCUCCAUGGAUUUCUUGAGUGAUCUUCCGAGUUCUGGAGGCUUCAACAGCAUUUUAGUCGUGGUGGAUCGCUUCACAAAGAUGGCGCACUUCUUGCCAUGUACCAAGGAGUUUUCGGGCGAGGACAUGGCAAAACUGGUAUUCAGGGAAAUUUUCCGACUUCAUGGGAUUCCUACAGAUGUGGUUUCGGAUUAGGGGCCUCAGUUCAUCUCUCAUUUCUGGCAACGGUUUUUGCAGCUGCUUGGAGUGAAGGCCAACCUCUCUUCGGCAUAUCAUCCUCAAACUGAUGGGCAGUCCGAGCGAACGAUUCAGACGUUGGAACAAUUCUUGAGGUGCUUCAUCAACUAUCAUCAGGAUAACUGGUUCGAUAUCCUUCCCCUUGCUGAGUUUUCCUAUAACAACUCUGUUCACUCCUCUCUUCGAGUUUCCCCCUUCUUUGCGAACUCUGGUCGAAAUCCCCGAUUCAAUCUCUCACUUCCUUCUCCAUCUGAAUCCUCUCGUUCAAAUCCCCGCUCUGAGGCAUUUAUCUCCAACCUCAAGGAAAUCCACAACUCCAUCUCCUUCCACCUCCAUCGUGCUCAGGAAUCUCAUAAAACAUUUGCCAAUGUCCAUCGUCAGGAUUGUCCCCCUUACAAUAUCGGGGAUAAAGUCUGGCUCCUCAGGCGAAAUAUCUCCACCACCAGGCCCUGUCCAAAACUCGAUUUCAAAUGCCUUGGUCCUUUCCCUAUCACUGCCAUCAUUAAUCCUUUCACUUAUCGCCUUGCACUUCCCUCCUCAUAUCAAAUUCACCCCGUUUUUCACUCCUCUCUCCUUGAGCCUUAUAUUCCUAGUCCUAUUCCAAAUCGGGUCAUUCCUCCGCCUCCACCAGUGCAGCUCGAGGAUGGGUCUGAGUACGAGGUUUAGGACAUCCUUGAUUCCAAGAUUUCACGGUCUAAACUCUACUAUCUAGUGGACUGGAAGGGUUACGGACCUGAGGAACGCACUUGGGAACCUGCGGACAACCUGAUUCAUUCUCCUGACCUUGUUCAGGACUUCCACCACCGCUAUCCUUCUCGUCCCAGUCCUCAUUUUUUUUCUCCCUCUCCCAUCCCUCGCCGCUCAUCUCAUCCUCCUCUUCAUUCUCGUUCACAUCCUCGUUCCACUCGUUCUUGAGGAGGGGGUGCUGUCAGGAAUCCCCCAAUUCUUGCCACAUUCCUGACUCUAGCCGGAUUCCUGACCUGCAGACCACAUUCCUGACUCUCGAGACAUUUCCCUAUUCCUGACUCUCGAGACACUUCCCGAUUCCUGAGUCUCGAGACACUUCCCGAUUCCUGAGUCUCGAGCCACAUUCCUGAUGAUGAUGUGGCACCUCCUCGACCUCAACUGUAUUUAGGCCGUCCUCGAUCCAAGAGUGGUGGAGCUUCAUCAACCUAUAGUAUAUAUAAGUUCCAUUUCUCCACAAUCUGAAUCAACACCAGUCUAAGGCCUCUUCUUUGUUUUCACUAGUUUUUUCUCUUUGUCUUUAGCAUUUUCCAGUCUUGAUCUUGUUGGGGGUCUUGACAACAUCAAUGGUGAUAUACUUGAGCACCAAUAAAAGUCGGACUAAGGAACAGCUCCGAUACCAAGUUGUAAACGACUAAAUUUUUCCAUUCUACUUUAAUCACUUAACCACACCUCCAACCACUUGGAGGAGUCUCACUCACAACCUCCAUAAGUCUUAUUUUGGACUUGGGCUUGCUAGCCCCGAGAAUAGCUGUUAGGCGCCAGCUUUGACUACGUGGUCAACGUCGGUCAAAGGGAGGCUCAAGGGUAUAUUAAGGCAUGUUAGGGUAAGGGACUUAACCUACCCUAGGGCUCACAGUGGAGCGGCGGCGCAGUGGAGCUUUUGAGGUAGCUCGGGGGUGGUUGGGUGGUGAGGAACCUCAAGAGGUGGCGUAGCAUAGUCUAGGGCAACUAGAUCUUUGUCUUUUUGCGCCGGAUCAUAACAUUGGUAUCAGAGGAUUGGUUGCGAUGGCCGACCAAGCUGAACGCUGGAAUCCUAUCAUCGAUGGUGGUGCCGACGGUGGUGCCGACGAUGGUGUCAACGAAGCUGCGGAGAUUUGGACCAUUCAAGAUGUGGUUCAUGAGCUGCGAGCCCUUAAUAAAAAUCAGCAAGAGAUGCAAGACGAGAUGCAUGGCAUGAUGGAUACCAUGCGUGGGCGUGUUGAGGCACUCGAGGCUGGACGGGGUAGCGCUCCAAUGUCUCGCUUGGCUAGCCAAUGUGAAGAAGUUCUUAGCUGCUAGAGGAACUCCAGAUGCAGAGGCUUUAGUGGCUAUUCCGAUGGUUUUGCGUGAUGCGGGUCUUCGAUGGUGGAAUUGGCUUGAGGAGUCCCGUGUUGCGGAUAAGAAACCACCAGUGUCUACCAUGGAUGAGUUUGAGGCUGCUUUCCGUUUACGUUUUGCCCCUCAUUACGACGUGGAGAAUGCUCGUACAGAACUUCGCCAUUUCCAGCAAGGGAAAAUGACGCUCGGGGAUUAUAUUGAGAAGCUUACUCGCUUGAUUAGUCGUGUUCCAACGAAGGAUCCAGAUCAGAACAAGUCCUACUUCAUUGAUGGCCUCCAUAGUGAGAGUAUGCGGCAACACUUGCGUCAUUCUCAGCCUACAAAGAGUUUGGAGGAGCUCUUUGAUGCGGCUCGUCGUCUUGACAAUGACAAGCACAAGUCUCGCAAGCGUUCGCGGAGUCCUUCUGUCGAGAAUCGUCGUGAUGAUCGCCGUGGACACAAGGAUGGGAACAAGCAUCACAAGUUGAAGUCGGUGGUGACUACCUCGGAUGCAAAGGGGUCCAAGAAGCAGAAGUUCUUUGUGAAGAAUUAUAGACAGGGUUGUCAUCAUUGCGGCGAACUUGGACACUACAAGGCUGAUUGUCCGCAGUUAAAGAACAAGCAGCAGGACAAGAAGAAUGGCCAAUCUUCUUCUCACGGUAAGUCCGAUACUAAAAAGUUGCAAACUUUGCAGCGUGAGGAGGAGGAGACCGACCAUUCCGGUCGGAGGAAGCGACUUUCGAUCGUUGCUCGUCAGCUCAACUGUGUGUGGAACAAGAUGGAGCUCGAGGAUACGCGUGAAUCAGCUUUAAUGCUGGAGGGCGUGUUCCGUGGCGAUCCAGUGCGGAUUUUACUGGAUAGUGGGAGCGAUGACAACUUUGUUUCGGCAAAGUUUGUUGCGGAGCAUCGCCUGAACACACGUGGAGUUGUUCCAUACACAGUGGAAGGUGCAGCUACCUCUGCUCAGCAUUUCGAUGCUUGUGUCGAGGGGCUGGAAGUGUUGGUUGGCAAAACCACACUUGUGGAGACUUUUUAUCUCGCGGAUAUCCAUCGUGUGGAUCUCAUUCUUGGGAUGCCAUGGUUGGUGAAGGUGGAUCCAGAGAUAAAGUGGAGCAUUAAGCGUAUCUCGCUGGAGUAUGGUGGCGUUAAAGAUGUGUGGUUUGGCGAGGGCGUUCAACCACCAGUUGUUAUGCUCUCUGCUACAUCUUUGAAGCGGGCUUGUCGUAAUGGAAAAGCACUUUCAAGUUACUUGCUGUUUGUUCGUGACUUGGGGGACCAAGGCACGUGUGGGGGAGAAGCAGCAGUACGGGAUGUACUUGAUGAGUUUUCUGAUGUUUUUCCAUCUGAACUUCCUCAUGGAUUGCCUCCAUUACGAGGUGUGGAGCAUGGGAUUACAUUGGAGCCGGGGACGCGGCCAAUUUACCGGCGUCCAUUUCGGUUAAGUUAUGUGGAGGAGCAAGAAGUUCAACGACAAGUCAAGGAGUUACUUGAGUUUGGAUUUAUUCAGCCAAGUAAGUCUCCGUUUGGUGCUCCGGUCUUGCUUGUGAAGAAGAAGGACGGUUCAAUGCGGAUGUGUAUUGACUACCGUGCUUUAAACAAGAAGACAGUGAAGGACAAGAUGCCGAUGCCACGUGUGGAUGAUAUCCUAGACAAGCUUGGUGAAGCACGAGUGUUUACCAAGAUUGAUCUGAGGAGUGGAUAUCAUCAGAUUGCAAUGGAUGAUGCAUCUAUCUCCAAGACGGCAUUCAACACAAGCUUCGGACAUUUCGAGUUUACUGUUAUGCCGUUUGGUUUGACGAAUGCACCGGCCACAUUUACUCGGUUGAUGACGGAGGUAUUUGGGCGUUAUCUUCAUGAGUUUGUGGAGAUUUUCUUGGAUGAUAUUCUUGUUUUUAGCAAGAAUAUGGAGGAGCAUAGGGUGCAUUUGCGCAAGGUUCUUUUGUUACUUCGAGACAGCAAACUUUAUGCGAAGAAGAGCAAAUGUGAAUUUGCAAAGUCGGAGGUGGAAUAUCUAGGCCAUAUUGUGACAUCUAAGGGUGUCAAGACGGAUCCAAGGAAGGUGGCUGUGGUGGAAAACUGGCCUACACCGACUACAGUGGCCGAGUUGCGCAGUUUUCUUGGUAUGGCUAGUUACUAUCGACGUUUCCAGCAUAAGUUUGCAGAGGUGGCUAUUCCGUUGACGCGGUUGUUACGCAAGAAUGUGCCAUUCGAGUGGAAGACGCCACAAGAGGAGAGUUUUGUGGCGCUGAAACGAUUGUUGAUCGAGGCUCCAGUGCUUCGCAUUGCUGAUCCAUCGAAACCUUACGAGGUGACAUGCGAUGCGAGUGGUUAUGCACUGGGAGGAGUUCUCAUGCAAGAGGGACAGCCUAUUGCAUAUGAGAGUCGAACUUUGAAUUCCGCGGAGCAACGCUAUUCCACAUAUGAGCAAGAGUUACUCUCUAUUGUUCAUGCUUUGCGGACGUGGCGGCACUAUCUUUAUGGUGCAGUGUUCGUGGUGUUGACAGAUCACAAACCACUUGUGUAUCUUUUCACACAGAAGGAGUUGAACACUAGGCAAGCUCGUUGGAUGGUCAAACUCAUGGAGUUUGGGGAGUUUCCUAUUGAGCAUCGUCCGGGAAAAUCAAAUGUGGUGGCGGAUGCUUUAUCUCGUGUUCGUCAUGUGAUGACGUUACGAACACGAUUUUGUCAUCAUUUGAGUAAGGUGGUCAGCGAGUUUGGGCAGUUGGUUGAGCAUGCUCAGGCUCAGGAUGCUGAGGUGGCCUCUUUGCGAGACCAGAUGGAAGCUCCUUUCUCAUUGGUGGAUGGGAUUCUCUACUACAAUGGCCGUGUCUAUUUGCCACGGGUGGAUGCGUUAAUUACUCAAGUUUUAUUCCACUAUCAUGAUCGUCCAGAGGCCGGUCAUUUUGGGGGGAAGAAGACGUAUGAGUUGAUUAAGCGCAACUUUUAUUGGAGGAAUAUGAAGGCUGAUAUCCUCAAGUAUUGUAAAUCAUGCGAGCUUUGUCAGCGGGUUAAGGUGCCACGGGAGAAGCCGGGGGGACUUUUGCAACCUUUACCUAUUCCUCAGAGCCGUUGGUGUAGUAUCUCUAUGGACUUCAUCACUUGUUUGCCACGAACACAGAGGCAAAAGGAGCAAGUAUGGGUCAUAGUGGAUCGGUUGACGAAGUAUGUGCGGUUGUUGGCUCUUCGGAAGACUGUCACUGCCUCAGACUUGGCUGCGGUUUACUUGGAGAGGGUUUUUCCUGAUUUUGGUUUGCCGGAGGACAUCAUUAGUGAUCGAGAUUCAAAGUUCACUAGUGGAUUUUGGAAAAGCUUUGCAAAGGCUAUGCAAGUGACUUUGAAACUCUCGAGUGGAGAUCAUCCUCAGACGAAUGGGCAAACCGAGCGUGUCAAUCAGGUGGUGGAGGAUAUGCUACGUUGUAGCAUUGGUCAAAGGCAAGGACAGUGGGAUCUAUAUCUUCCAUUGGUGCAAUUUGCUUACAACAAUAGCCAACACAGUGGAACCAAGCUAAGUCCUUACUUUGCGAUGUUUGGAAGGCAUCCUCGAACAGCGGUGGAGUUGGGAUUGCAUUUGAGUAAGGACGUUCAAGAAAAGCUUGAUUCCGAGGCAACUGAUCUGGCCACAGAACUUGAUGAGAUUCUGGUGGUAUGCAAACGGAAUUUGCAAGCAGCUCAGGAUAGAGCGGAGAAGUUUGCUAAUGAGCAUCGCCAAUUCCGGGAAUAUAAGGUGGGUGAUCUCGUCUUUGUGCGAGUGAUCUUUUCGUCAAGUGAGCGGCGGAACACCUUAGUGCCUUUACGGACAGGGAAGAGUGAUAAACUUUCCCAUCGAUAUGCUGGUCCAUAUGAAGUGCUGGAGCGCAUUGGUAAAGCGGCUUAUCGGGUGCGGCUGCCAGCUGGGGUGAAAAUUCAUCCAGUAUUUUAUGUCAGCCAAUUGAAAGGUGUACUAUCUCGGAGUGACGGGCCCAAUGCCUCCUUGAUGUAUACGGCUGUGGAAGAUGGACCAGGAGCUUGAGCAGGAUUCCCCAGAAAGGGUGAUCACCGGUACAACUCGUCCUUGGGACAAGGACUUUGUUGGGGGGGAAGAAUUGUUAGGCGCCAGCUUUGACUACGUGGUCAACGUCGGUCAAAGGGAGGCUCAAGGGUAUAUUAAGGCAUGUUAGGGUAAGGGACUUAACCUACCCUAGGGCUCACAGUGGAGCGGCGGCGCAGUGGAGCUUUUGAGGUAGCUCGGGGGUGGUUGGGUGGUGAGGAACCUCAAGAGGUGGCGUAGCAUAGUCUAGGGCAACUAGAUCUUUGUCUUUUUGCGCCGGAUCAUAACAAUAGCAUCCCCGCCAUUCAACCUUUGCAUUUAGUCCAAGUGCUCCAUGUGUUUGAUCCCAUGACCAACACCCCAAGGCACCACUGACACAUCGGCCAGUUACGCUAAGGCCAUGCCCAUUCACCUUGGUCACACCGGUGGUCUGACACCACCUACACCACAGUCCCGUCUCUCAAAGACUGAGCCAUCCGUCCAUGAGUGAUUAUCCCAGAUCCACUCCUUAACAUCCUUAGGAUGCCCAUAGACAUGGGGAAUAGCCUUCCCCAAUAUCCCCUUUCUGGUCCCCACCAAGUCCCUUUCUGCCCAUGGCCAUGUUUGCCAACACUGCCACUGGAUCGAGACCCACAGGCCCGGCCACUAAGUCCCACGGUCCUCUGGGACUUCCUCACCACACGACUGUGUCCUUGGUCACUACCCCAGAGGACUGCUCCUCUUCCUUUCCACAGUCUGGGCCUUUGGGACAACAUUUCGGAACACUGUGGCCUUACGCGAGCCACCUGGGUACUCUCCUCGCCUUCUGCCCUUGGGUGCUCUAGCCAUGGGCUUAGAGCGGGUUCCGUUGAGCCACACCAGGUAUCCAAGUAGGUAGUGCCACCCACACUUGGACUGGGAGCAUCGGCCAGUCGAUCUCCCGGGGGAACUAGAGCCGGCUCUUGAACACUUCACCAAGCUACCCCGCUUGUCGGUCUAUGUUCACUCUAGUCUUGGACUUCCCAGUGAGCAGCUCAUCACCCAACACUGGGUCCGGCCUUCCUGGGCCAAACUGGCCUUUCCUGGCCAAACUGGCUCCACUGCAGUCCUCCCCCUACUAUACUUUUGGAGCUCACCAAACCCCCCAGGGUCUAGGAGACGAACGCUUUGGGCUUUCACCCUCUCAGGCUCCGGACUCGGACUUGGACUCGGACUCGAACUCGGACUCGGACUCGGACUCGGACUUAGGCUCGGCCUCGGUCUCGGUCUCGGUCCCGAUCUCGGUCUCGGUCUCAGCCUCAGUUUCAGUUCCGAUCUCGAUCUCGGUCUCGGUCCCGGUCUCGGUCUCGACCUCGGACUCCAUCUCGGGUCCUUCUCGGACUCCAUCUCGGAUUCCAUCUCAGGUCCAUUUCAGAUUCCAUCUCGGACUCCGUCUCAGUCCAUCUCGAACUCCAUCUCGGGUCCAUCUCGGACUCCAUCUCGGGUCCGUCUUGGACUCAAUCUCGGAUCCAUCUCGGGUCCACCUCGGACUCCAUCUUGGACUCCAUCUCGAACUCCAUCUCGGGUCCAUCUCGGACUCCACCUUGGACUCCAUCUUAGACUUCGUCUCAGUCCAUCUCGGACUCCACUUCGGACUCCACUUCGGAUUCCAACUUGGGUCCAUCUCAGACACUUCCACGUGUCAUGUGUUGGUCCUUUUUGGGUCCCAUUUUGGAGCCUCGCUUAUUGCUCGCUUCGUGCUCGUUCCUCAAGCACUUUGUUGGGAGUUCCACUCCCGCUCUCAACCUUUCAAGUUGGAGCUUUUAGUCCAAACGUGUUGCGCUUGUUUGGCUUUCGCUUCGGCCACUACCAUGUGGCACCCUUCCAGCUCCACUUUGGAGCCUAGGGAUUUUGUGUCUCACACCCAGUCUUUGAGAGACGGGACUGUGGUGUAGGUGGUGUCAGACCACCAGUGUGACUAAGGUGAAUGGGCAUGGCCUUAACAUAACGGGCCGAUGUGUCAGUGGUGCCUUGGGGUGUUGGUCAUGGGAUCAGACACAUGGAGCACUUGGACCAAGUGCAAAGGUUGAGUGGCGGGGAUGCCAUUCUCGGGGCUAGCAAGCCCAAGUCCAAAAUAGGACUUAUAGAGGUUGUGAGUGAGACUCCUCCAAGUGGUUGGAGGUGUGGUUAAGUGACUAAAGUGGAAUGGAAAAAUUUAGUCAUUUACACUAAGUUAGAAGCCAAGGAGUAAAGGAACUGAACCACGAAGCAACUCCCAAGCAUACAGCCUAAGGAGCAGAGGGAUAGGAGCACGAAGUGACUUAGAAUAGUCCUAGAGCAUCUAACAUCCCAAUGCCAAAACUAACAUGCAAAACAGAGCCUAUUGCUAUUUUAGCAUACUGAUGACUUAACGCAAGGAUAUGAGUACUCCACCAGCUAGCAUGGUAUGGAGUUUGGGCUUAGACCUAAGCCAGAAGCAGAACAAAGAUAGACAUACAAGCGGGAGCUAAACUAUGCCUCAAAUUGGUCGACCAUGCUCCCGACCUACCCACUAUCCCUACUAUACAUUUGGAACCCCUUAUAGCCACACCCCCUCCUCGUCGUGAGGAACACACUCUUUGGGCUUUCACCCCAAGCCUCCCUUAAUAUCAGGAGUUAGUCUCUGGGAUAAGCUUGAAACUUACUAAAUAUGGAAUGUUCUUAGAUUGCGAAUUUGGACACGGAACGAACACUAUUGUGUUCAGGACAAUUUCCACAUUCCGUAGAUAUGCCAAAUAAGCAAAUCUAGACACUUUCCAUAAAUAACAUUUGAGACUGAAAUGAGACUAACACAAAAGGCAUGAUAGCGAGGGUGUUUGGCAAACACGAUAAACUAUCAUCUAUUGUUAUUGAGGGACUAGUCUCAAUACGCGAGGGUUCUUGUCAAACCAAUGCAAGAUAGAGUAAAAGAGAACUAAAAAGCUGGGCCAAGUAUGCUUGGCAAAAUAGACACUUAGGAAUUUUGUCCUUAUGCUCAUCCGGCCAAGUACAGAUGCAAAAUCCAAUUUACUAACACUUGAAUAAAAAGGGUUGAUAAAGGGUCCAGCAAUACUGACCUCCUACCGUUGUAGCAGUAAAGAAAGAGUGUCCAUAAAGACUAGCUGACAGAUAAUUUUCAAUACCCGAAAUCACAUUUGCGACAGCUUUCCAUCUACAUUGGUUUUCAAUACAUAUUUUGAACGUGUUACAUUAGAGCUUCCAGCUCAAUGUGGAUAAAAUUGAUACAAUUAAAUGUGUGGUUAUCAUAACUAAAAAGUAGAAACAUUCUUCUAAAAUUCAUCAUUAAGAAUUGUUGUGCAAACAUCUUUGGCAUCAUUUGUAUUAUACCACUUCAAUGAUUCAAAUUCCACUCACUAUAAAUCAUCAAAGACAUGGCAAACAUCUUCAUGCUAAAGCUAGUUGACCAUAAGAAAGAUGUAAGUGAAUUAAGUCUUUGUAUGUUUCAUGAGUUCUCUAGAGCAAAACUUCCGGUGUGAUUUCUUGUGUCUCUAGAGUAGAAUGUUGAUCAUCCCUUCAAGUGGUAAGAGGUGAUAUAUUGCUGCCAAUAGGUAAUAAGCAAGCCAUGCCGAUAGUGACAAACAAUGAAGUCAAGAAGAAGAUCUAAGUAGUACGAUAGACCCCAAAGCAAUUGGUAGUGGUUCAAUCAAUGGCCACACUUAAGGGGGGAUGGUAUACUCAAGUGGUGGUGACAGCAGCUCAUUGAAUAUCUAAAUUUGGAUCUUGUAGUAUGGAAAUAGGGAGUGAGGAGAUUCCUCUUAUUUGAAGUUAAAGAAACAUGAAAUGGUAGAGUUUCAGGCUAGGAGUGGAGAUGUUCUCCAUUGGUUUGAAGGAGUAAAAGGUCUGGCUAGUAGUCCAGCUUGGAGAUGUAUUUAGUGUUUAGAAUGACACAAAUGGAGUGUGCUCGUCUGGUGGGAUGUGAUAGAAAUUGAAGUUGGCAUGUCAGUUUAGGAAGCAAUGGGCCAUAAGCACUAGUCUAUUUGGAGAGUGAUAGGAGUGCAAGUACUUUAGGAGGCAUGUAACCACUUUCAUUUCAACAGAUAACAAUUGAAAAUAUCUAUUGUAGUGGCUUUGUGAUGAAGACUUUCUCUUACAACAAUGUGCCUUCACUACACCAUUCUAAAAGAGUGGGUGAAACCUAGUUGACUAUGGAAUAAAUGGCUCCCAUGUUUCAGCAAAGUGGUAGAUGACCAUAUCUGCUAGAAGUGGUGCCCCCCUCCCCCAACUCUGUCCUAUGUUCAACUCAGAGGGAGACUUGGAUAUUGAUAUGAUCUAAAAGAUACAACCACAUCCACUUCUACUUUAAGACGCAAAUGCCUAAUUUUUGUAUUAGCCCCAUUGGGACUUAAGGAAUGUACAUACAUGUUUACUUAGAGUAAAAUUUAACAUUGGUUUAUCAAUUAUAAAUCUCACAAUCUUCUCAUAGUCAUUUACAAUCUUAGACACCCAAUCAAACCUCUUAAUAUCCUUCAAUGAAAAGUCUAAAACAUGGUACAUAUAUUGAUUGUGUAAGAUAAAGAGGAAUUUUUCUCUCAUAUGUUCCUCCAUCAAAUACACAAUUUGAAGCAUUAUCAAUAGUGACUUAAAUAACAUUUUUAACACCAACAUCCAAAAUGAUUAAUUUAAACUGCCCCCAAGGCCAAAGACUAAUUUUUUCCUCUCCUUUGGUAUCAACACCCUACUAAAAUACCAAGUUAUGGAUGGAGAUAAUUAUGAAGUACCUUAGAUCAUCCAUUAGUUACUAUUAUACAUUCAAAUUGAGCCCAUCUAACAUGAAAGGAAGUUAACUUCUCUUUGAUUAGAAUAUAGUGACAAGUGAGUUGAGUAGUGCAAAGUUUUUUGUAAUUAAGAAUCAUUGAUGAAGCACCAAGUCUAGCACUACAAGUGAUUGCAAUCAUUGUGAAAAAGUAUAGGAUUUUGACAAUAUUUAAUGUUAUAGCAUUUUAAGAAAUGAAUUUUGAUAUUACAUCAUUUGUAUUCAUGUUUCUUAAGCAUUUCCCUAAAGUUGCCAUCUCACAUUUACUUUCAACUAACAAAUGAUCUUUCAUGGCUUAAAAAAGCACUUAUUGCCUGAGAUUGACUAGCACUUUGUGUCCCAACUCUAGAAGCAAAUGCCCCAUCAAAAUACUAAUUUGCUGUAGAAGGUAAAGCUAAAAGGGCAUUUAUUAUUUGCUUCAUAAGCAUUCAGCGAGCUUAUUCCUAAACAUGGAGAGGAAUAUUUGAAGCACUAUAUACUUUAAUGUCAUACUUAAAAACUCUAGCAAAAUGCACUUUAAUUCAUUUUGGUGGACUGCCAUACAUUUUUCCACAAUAGUUGCUCCAAUUAUGCAAAAAUCAAUUGCUAAAACACUAGAAUCCAAUUGUUAGAAUUGUUAGAAUCGCAUUUUAAGAUACAAAUUAGAGUUUUUUGGGAAAAAAAUAGCAAAGCAUUUUAGGAACAGCCCUCUCUGAUUAGCAUCUUGGCCAAACAUGGUCAAAACCAACAAUGGGCACAACACACUAUUCUAGCUGAAAAAGGAAUAAGAAAAUCAAUGUGUUAAAUGUUUGACUUACUUUCUUUAUCUUAAUUAGAGUAACCAGUGAAAUCUAGUCUUUAACAUGAUUUGUCUUGCACCUUAAAAAUUCACCUCUCUCACAUGAACCCAAUAACCCAUCUGACAUGAUUUUCUGUGUAGUGCAUAGAAAGAAAUGCUGUAUUGCCAAGCUCCUACAAUGUCAGCAUUUCAAGUUUUUGGAGCUUGGGAUAGGGUGUAAUUGCUUUGGCUCAUCAUCAUGGUGCAAUAGAGAGCUUAGCAAUGCUCUAGAGAGAGAAGCCCUUGGAUCAUACCCACUAGUUAUGGGAAAGUAUGCUCAUUACUAUAAAGAGAGAGAGAUAAGUGCUAACAACACCUUACAUGUUCUUUUAUAAUGUGGCCAUCUUUAGCCAACUAAACUCAAGCAUAAACUCAAUAAGCUGCCACUAGAUAUGUUAUCUUACCUCACUCAGCCAAUGAGCAUCCAAGCCAUACUACUCUCCCAUUGGCCAAGAGCAAGAUCCACAAAGUUUUUAGUCAACCAGCCUAAGAACCAAUAGCUGGGGUAUAACCAAGUUGGAUGAGUACCAUUGAUUUAGUUGAGACACACUAUUGCCUUAGGAAUUUAAUUUGACUGAUGGGAUAAUUCUUUUAUUCUCCACUAGAGCAAGUAUAUCAAUGAUAUCCUAUUAGCAUGCUCUUUUCAUGAUAACCAUGUUAGGAGAAAAACUUUUUAUACAGGUAUAACCUAAUAUGAUAUCUUUUUUUUUAAUUUAAACUACUCACCUAGGGAGAGAAUCAUCUUUUAUACUGAUUACCUUCUAGCUCAAGUAUGUAUAGAUUGACAUUGGCCACCCUUACUAUGACAUAUAUACACAACUAAAGUUGCAGAACUAACCAACCAAUAAAGGAAACUCAUUUUUUCACCAUAAAAAUAUGCUUUUUGAGAAUCAUUAAACUAGUUAAUGUUUAAUUAAUUAGGGAAAACAUAUUCUAUAGAUAUUCCCGAAAGCUGAGUAGGUCGCGAGAUCUGCGAGGCCCGGCACAAGCAGCUGGAAGGCUUCUCACAGACGCCGCUGCUUGACGAGCCCGGGGGUAAGUUUCUGCAGCUGCCAAGAGUGCUCGCGGGGCUCUGGCGAUACUCAAGAAAGCACGAGCCGCUGGUGUACGUGAGGCAAAAUCCUCGACUUGAUCGAGACGUCAAAGGUAGCUUCCGUGGUUGUGCUGGGCAUGCCCGGGAUCGGCAAGUCCAGCUUUGUCUUCGUUCUGUUGUGGGCGCUCCUUCACAAGUGUUGCUGGAACCUCAUCCUCCUCAAGUUCAAGGAAUCCGACAGCUACUACGCCUUUGACAAGGAUGGCAAAGUUUCAUCCACUGUCAACCCCGCCGUUGCCGCGAAUUGGGUGGAGGCCGAAGAGGAAGGCAAGGUGUGGUACCUGGCGGACUGGAAGAUCGAUAAGCACUACUGGAGCCUGCCUUGCAAGGUCGUUAUGGCCACCUCGCCUGGCCGGCAGAAUCACCACCACUUCUUCAAAGGAGACGAUGUGAUUAGGCUUUUCAUCCCGACGUGGUCUCACGAAUAAAUCCAACGAUCUGGUGUUCAAGUAUCCAAAGGCCGAGGUGGACGAGAGGUUUGACAAGUGGGGAGGGGUCCCGAGGCAUGUGCUAUCCAAGACUGGCAUACAUCAGCAGCAAGAGCUUGAGGAUGUGGGCAAUACGAAUGAUCAUUGAAAGUUGGCUUCAAGUUUGCGUGUGUUUCAAUUGGUUCUAAUUUCUUGUCAUGAAGAAGCCAAGUGACCUGCUCAACGACGAUAAGAACUGGAAAACGCCAUGUCACAGUGUGCCAAGAAGAAAAAUGCUAUGAGAUUGGAGAGAUUUUGUGUCAACGUGAUUGUCGAUGCUUUGAGUUAUGUUGUUGCUGCGCUCAACACAAGACCUGUGAGCUGAGAAACAACGUUGCCUGUGAUCUUCAGAACCUCAAUCCAGCUGAAGACGUGCAUGACAAUGGUCCAACCCCAAAGGCAAAGGAAUGUGUGUGCUUCUCAAUGGCUAUAAGAAGCACAGUGAUCAUAGCGUGAAUUGACAAGAAAAGACGCUCAGAUCAACUUGUAUUCUGUUUGUUCUGUUUGCUGUUCAACAAAAUGGACAUCAGGUGUUAGAGGUAGAGAUGAUGUGGCAUGUAAUAAUGCCUACAUAGUAGUUUCAUGUAUAUGUACCAUUUAUAUAUAGUUGAAUACAGAGAGAAAGUUCUUCCUCCUCGUGCUCAAUAGCAAGGAGUAACAAGCAAAGCAUAAAGCUAAUGGGAGAUUGAGAGAUUUCAGCAACCCAUAUAAAAAAUUGGAUCAAACAAAAUUCAAGAACAUUGCAUAACAAUUCUUUGCAUGAAUUUCUAGCAAUUAAGAAAGAUGUUUAUGGAUAUUCAAGUGUUUGGUAACAGUAGAAGUGGGAGCUUGGCAGUUCACAGCCAAGACCACAUGCUAGUGACAAGAUUGAAGCCAUAGCAAGGAGCAAAGAGUGCGCAAGUAAGUCUAAAACUAAGAACCAAGUUUUGUAUAGUUGAUUGAUGAGUUUUUAGUAUGUUUUUCUCAUCAGCUCUCCAUGCUCAUCAUUUCAGAUGAGCUAAACAUGAUUCAGGCUUAGAUUCAAGCUUGGAUCAGCCGCCUGAUCAUGAGUGGAAGUGUUAGAGGUAGAGAUGAUAUGGCAUGUAAUUAUGUCUAUGUGGUAGUAAUUUCAUAUAUAUGUACCAUCCAUAUACAGUUGAAUAAGUUUUUCCUCCUCAUGUAUGUCUCUCCGCUGCUAACAUCAGGUUCAUGGACUGUCUGUUCUAACUGGACAACACCUGAGAACAACUAAAAGGGCUAGAGGCUUCAACCUUCCAGGUCUAUGUUCUCUACAGUUUUCUUUAUGGUUUCUCUAACUUCUUUUCAUUUUUGCAAUGCCAUGAGAUUGCAACAUAGAAGUUUAUGCUGCGGCAGUGGCAAAACCAGACGAUCUACACAAAGCCAAUGGGAUGCAGGGACAAAACGCAACAGGACACACAAUCGCUGGGUUGACAAGAGGACUAGUUAAAAAGUAUUUGAUUAGUACAGCGUCGGCAAUGAACACAACGUCACGCGGCCGUAUGGGCCGAAAUGAUGGUACGGAAGGGAUGGAUUAUGGCCCACUUGACAGAAUCGUUGGACGGAAUAUUUGGUCUCCUCUGGUCCAUCGCAAUCUUGCAACUUGCAAAAAAGUAGUGCGCUACGGUUCUUCUCCUCUCCUACACCUUGUUUGAUUGGUUUUCUCGGCGAAUUAUCUCGCUUGGCUCCCCAUUUUCUCUGAUUUGGAGUGGGGGGAGGUUAGAUUUGAUUUGGAAAAGCAAGUGCUGCGGUCGGAAAAAUCUCACUUGCUUCUCAGCGAUGGAUUUGUUCUUGCUUCUUUUCGCAGUGAUCUCUGUGCCGCUCCUCCCUCACAAAGCACAAUUUGUACAAAAGAAAAAGUAGCAAAGAAAAAAUUCCAGCUUGUGGUGGAUGAAUCGAUCGAGGUCCACCUUCAGGAUUUGACGAGCAUGACGAUGCAGCGGCGGAAGAUGUAGAACCUCGACCUUUGCUCCUUCAAGAGCGAGUAGAGUCGGCCGCAUUUCAAGCCACCGCCGCCGCUCGACGAGCGCGGCUCGCCCAGUCGCCUCACGGCAUGGCCCGGCUUGUUGAGGCACUGACACAUGAUCUCGAUCGACGAUCGAAUUGCUUGUAUAUAUAGCGAGCGAAUGGAUGGAUCACUGCACUUCCCAAAUCAAAGCUCAAAAUGACAGAAAAUGGGGAAUAAUUCGCCGAGCAAACCAAUCAAACAAGGUGUCGGCGAGGAGCGAAGAACCGUAGAGCACUACUUUUUUGCAAGUUGCAAGAUUGCGAUGGACCAACAGAACGGGGCCGGAGGCCUCCUUUUAUAUCUAUAGCCGUCGGAGAGGGAGAGAGGAGACCAAAUAUUCCGACUCAUCCGGAUUGUUCCGCUAAUCCAAACCGGAUUGGAUCUUUCGAAACGACGCGAUUUUUUCUUCUCUCGAUGUUUUCGGCAUCGUGAGGAUAUGAGCGGCACCUCUCCGAUCAAUUCCAGCAGCUCCACCGCCAUCGCAUUCCGCGCUCGUCUUCCUUCUCGGAUCUGCCCAAGCUCCGGAGCAUCCAAUCCUCCACAGCGAUUUCUCCCGCGACAAGCUCCUCAACGCCUCUACGGCAAGUGCGGCUGCCUGGACGAGGCAUGCAGGGUCUUCGAUGGCAUCCUCCACAAGGACGUCUACACGUGGACGGCCAUGAUUGGCGCCUAACAAAAUGCCCGAAAAGAACGCCGUGACAUGGAACGCGAUGAUCACAACAUAUGCCAAGGCAGGGCAUCUGGAAGAAGAAAAGAAUCUCUUCGAUCGAAUGCCACACUGGACGUUGAUCUCGUGGAACAUCAUGUUUGUUGCUUACGCCACUGAUCUUGAUCUAAACGGUGUACUUGAUCUGCUCGAUUCCAUGCAGGAGAGAAACGUAUUUACGUGGAACACGAUGAUCACUGCAUUUGCCCAAGAAGGGCAGUUGUAGGCCGCAAAGUCAAUAUUCCGGAUUGGAAUCUCGCUACCUGGACGACAAUGCUGCAGGCCUAUGCCCAAAUGGGGCACCUCUCCGACGCUUGGGCGGUGUUCCGGUCCAUGCCGGAGCAUGACGUGAUAUGCUGGAUCGCAAUUCUCCUUGCGAACUACCAAAACAGCGACCUCGCGAGCACGGAAGCUGUGUUUGAUUCCAUGCCGGACUGGAGUGCUGCUUCGUGCACGGUGAUGCUCCAGGCCCUUUCCGACACUGCAGCAAGUGACGUCUACGAUUCGAUUACGGACAAGAAUGUGGUGGCGGGGACGGUCAUGAUCACCGCGUAUUCCCAGGCGGGAAUGUCUACCCACGCCCAGGAGGUUUUCGAUUCCAUGGAAGAGAAAAACGUGCUGACGUGGAGCUCUCUCAUGUCUGCAUAUGCCCAGGCCGGGCAGAUGCCUCAAGCGGAGAAUCUCUUUGAGCAUGUGCCAGAACGGAACUUGGUGUCGUGUUAAACGAUGAUAUCCGGGUUCGUGAAGAAUGGAAACUUAGAGAAUGAAAGAUUCUGUUUUGAUUCCAUGCCGGAGCACACGCAGGCAGCGUGGAACGCAAAGGCGACAGCAUAUACCAUUUCCGGGCAUCUGGAAGACGCUAAGGAAACGUUCGACGACAUGCCCGAUCGAGACCAAAUCUCCUACACGGCCAUGUUCCAAUCUUACGCGCAAAACGGAAACAUAGGCGAAGGGAUAUCGCUCGUCUACGCAAUGCCGCACAGAGACGUCAAGACCUGGAAUGCGAUAAUGGCAGCACUUGCCCAGAAGGGGUAUCUGGAUCGCGCGCGCCGGGUGUUCGACGCCAUGCCAGAAUCCAACGGAGUCUCGUGGAGCGCCAUAGUCUCCUGCUACGCGCAGACGGGCCGCGGGGAGUCAGGUGUCCGGAUGUUUGCGGCAAUGGCGGCAGAGGGAUUCCCCGCAGACCAGGUGGCUUGCCUGAGCGGGCUCGUCGCUCAAACCCACAUCGGCCGCGUCCCGCAGUGCUGCGCCUUCUUCCGCUCCAUGCAACAGGACUUCGGGGUGGCGCCGCUGGCGGAGCACUUGCAUGGUGGACUUGCUGGGAAAGGCCGGGCAUCCGCUGCUGGCGGCUCCAUGCAGACGUCGGGCGGGCCGGCGGCGCGGCCAGGAAUCUCUUCGCCGUGGACACUCGAGAUUCCGGAUCUCACGUGUUGCUGUCCAACAUGUGUGCUUAUCCAAGUCUACUGCCCGAUAUUUCCACGCCUUUAGUACUCUUCAAUGUGCGAUUUUAUUUAGAUUAACUUAGGUAUAUUCGCGGAUACUUUCGGGGGUGUUUAUAUACCUAAAGAAAGCAGAGCUGUGGAAAAAGGAUGUCUAGUUUUUUGCGAGGAUCUCUCCCGUUUCGUCUCGCUGCAAAUUCCGGAGCGCUGCAAGAAACUGAGAGGAGGAGGAACUGCAAGCCUGGGGUCGCGCGCUGCUCCUUCUCCUCCUACGCGAGCGGCGGGACGGCGGAUCUGUACGCGAUGCUGGGCGUGAGCUGCGGCGCCGACGCCUCGGAGAUCAAGAGCAGCUACCGCAAGCUCGCGCUGCGCUACCACCCCGACGUCUGCCCGGCCGGCGACCGCGAGCAAUGCUCCCGGAUGUUCAUGCGCGUCCAGGAGGCGUACCAGGUGCUGUGCGACCCGGAGCAGCGCGCGGGCUACGAUCUGGCGCUGGUGCGCGGAUCGGGAUCGUUCCAGCGGCGAUCAUCCAGCAGCGUGUCAUGGCGAGCGCAGGUCGAUGCGAUCAGGAGGCGACGCCCGAAGAGUGGAUCGUGGGCCGCGACGAUGCGGACAAACUCGCGCCGCUAGAGCAAUGUGUUGUAAACUCUUCCAAAACUAAUCCAAUCCAAAUCAUCCCCGUCAACUUUUGUUUGAAAAGUUCAAGGGGACAGGACACCGAUCUCGUCACAGCAGCACUCUGGAGUCGUCCGAAUCCAAUUUUGCUGGCGAUGGGGCCCCGCGCCGGCUGCUUUUGGAGCUCGCCCCCGUGGCUCUGGCCUGCCUCAGCAUCUCCACCGCCUCUUUCAUCGUCGGGCGAUCGCCCGGCCUUUCCCUGGUGCAGAAGAGCGCCACUCGCAGCAGCAGUGACAUCUCGCUCCUGUCACCCUCGCUCGCGAAUUCCCACACCGAGGGAUCCGCCAGUACCUCUAUGCUGCCGCAUUUCUUUGCCCAAGACACUAUAUUCUGGCCCCUUUCCAAGAACAGCGGGUCCACCGGCGACUUUCCUACCAAAAGCUCCAGAAUGACGACGCCAAAGCUGUAGACGUCGCUCUUCUCGUUUACUCGCAGCGUGUAGGCAUACUCUGCGCAAAGCCAGCCUGAGAAACGUGCGGAAACACGCAAAACACGUACCAGGAGCAAUGUAGCCGUAUGAUCCGGCGAUGGACGACAUGGAGCCCGUCUCCACUUGCUUCUCCACGAGCUUGGCGAGGCCAAAGUCCGCGAUCCUGGCUUUCACCUCGAUGUCGAGGAGGAUGUUGUUGGACUUGAUGUCCCUGUGGAUGAUCGCCGGCGAGCAGUCGUGGUGCAAGUACGCCAGGCCCUGCGCCGUCCCGAGAGCGAUCUCGUAGCGCGUUUGCCACGAGAGGCUCUCGCUGGGCCGCCUGUAGAGCAUGUCUCCCAGGCUCCCGUUCGCCAUGAACUCGUACACCAGGAGGUCGCAGUCGUCGAGCUUGAAGAAGGCGUGGAGCUUGACGAUGUUCCGGUGCUUCACCUGGCCAGCGGUCUUAAGCUCGCGCAGGGAGCUUCGGUCGUCCACUGCGCUUCUUUCACCCUGUACGAGCUGGAGCUUCUUCACGGCGAACUCCAGUCCGGAUGGCAGCUUUGCUUUGUAGACCGUCCCAUAGGCACCCUGUCCGAUGACGAAGCGCGAGUGGAAGUUGUCCGUCGCGGCGACCAAAGCCUCGUACGUGAUCCCUCUCCUACGAUCGCCGAAGACGAGGCUGGUCUGCCUGUGCGCCGACGCUCUCUUCCACGCGUAGCAGCAUGCCACGAUCGCCACCGAGGCUAUGAGCGCGCUGCCGACGAUGAUUCCCACAAGUCCUGCCGUCGGUAUUCUCCUCGUCGUCCCGCUACCGCUCUCGUCACUGGCGCAAGGACUCAAAGCUUGCGAGCCGCACAAGCCACUGUUUCCCAGAAAGGAGCUGUUGAAUCUUUGCUGCGAUCGCCAUCCAUCCGGGAGACGUCCGCUCAACUGGUUGAAAGAAACGUUAAGAACCUCCAAGCUUCUCAGCUGGUCGAGCUGGGACGGUAUCACUCCGGUGAGCAUGUUGUAGGACAGAUCCAGCGUUUGCAGCCUCGUCAACGCAGCCAACUGAGGUGGAAUCGUGCCGGCGAGCUCAUUUCCGUGAAGAUCCAGAACGCUCAGAGACUCUAACGAGCCAAGCUGGACGGGAAUCCGACCCUGUAACCUGUUCUUCGCCACGUCCAAAGUUAUCAAGUUCCGCAGUUCCAUCCAGAAAGUUGGCAGCUCUCCCUCGAGCGCAUUUCCGUGAAGGAUGAGGUCCAUCAGCCCGGUAAGGUUGCUGAUGCCUGUCGGUAUCGCUCCACUGAGAUUGUUGCGGCUGAGAUCUAGCUGGAGGAGCUCCGAGAGCCGACCGACGGUAGGAAAGAUGGAGCCAGUGAGAUGGUUCCCCGACGCGUUGAAAAGCGUGAGCUCCUCGAGGUGCUGGAGAGAGUCUGGAAUGGAGCCAGAGAGCUGGUUGUCAUGCACCAGAAGCGCCGUCAGCCUGAAGCACUUGCCGAGCUCCUCCGGGAUGGAUCCGUUGAAACUGUUGUCCGAGACGUCCAUGUAAGUCAAGUUGGUAUUGUCGCCAAACUCGCGGGGGAUAGCUCCCGAGAGGCGGUUCGUGCCGAGGAAAAUCCGCCGCAAGCUCUUGCAACCCGCCAGGCCCACAGGGAUCCCCCCGGUCAACCUGUUUCUCUCGAGGCUGAUCGCGGACAGGGAACCGCUCGAGCAAAGUCCGGGAGGAAUGGUUCCUUCGAGGCUGUUGUUUGCAGAGUGUACGAUUGUCAGCAUCCCGUUAUCUCCGAGUCUUUGCGGAAGUGGUCCACUGAGAUCGUUGCUUUGCAAGUAGAGGCGCUGCCAAGCCAUGUCCCCGAAUCGCGAAGGAAUUCCUCCGGUCAAGUAGUUCUCCGACAAGUCCAUGACGGACAGCUGAGAGCAGUUGCCCAACUCCUCGGGGAUGCUUCCACUGAGCUGGUUGGUUCUCGCUUGGAAGGUUUCUAAGCUCGUCAGCUGCCCGAAUUCUCUGGGGAUCCCACCACCAAGACCAUUCUCCGAGAUGUCCACGUACACUAGCUUCUCCAGCCCCGACAAACUCCGAGGGAUUUCUCCAGACAAGUGAUUCAUGUUGAGUACGAGGGCGGUCAAGUUCUUGCAGUCACCGAGCUCGGCUGGAAUGCUGCCAGAAAAACCAUUGUCCGCGAGCUGUAGAACCGACAAGCUGGCCAGCUUUCCAAGCUCCGGAGGAAUCCGGCCCUCGAGCUGGUUUGUGUUGACGUCGAUAUGUUCCAGGCGGGUGCAGUUGGCAAGCUCGGCGGGGAGCUCUCCCGAGAAGCCAUUAUCAAACAGCUGGAGCGACUGGAGCCUGGUUAAGUUCCCGAGCUCUCGCGGUAUGAUCCCGGACAAGUUGUUCGUCCCGAGGAGCAAAGUCGAGAGGUUGGCACACCUUCCAAGGCUGGGAGGAAUGCCGCCGGUGAACUGGUUCUCCUGGAGGAUGAGCACGUCGAGAUGGACCAGGCUGCCGAUCCCAGCGGGGAUCUCCCCGUUCAUCUUGUUGCUAAAGAGAUGCAAGUUCUGGAGCAUCGUGAGCCUGCCAAUGUCCGGGGGGAUCUCUCCAGUGAGAUUGUUCUGGUAGAGCACGAGAAUCUCCAGCUUCACCAUCCUUGUGAUCGAGGAAGGGAUGCCCCCCUCGAGCUGGUUGACACUCAAGUCGAUGAACGUCAUGUUUGCGCAGUUCCCGAGCUCCGGAGGGAUCCUCCCGGUGAUGUGAGUGUUGUUGCUGAGAUCGAGCUGCUCGAGGCUGGCGCACUGCCCAAUCUCGCCGGGAAUCUCACCGUCGAGCCAAUUGUAUGACAUGUUGAGGAAGCGCAAGCUCCUGAGCCUGCCCAGCGCCGGAGAGAUGCUUCCCGCAAGAUUCAACCCCUGGAUCGUCACGUUGAGCACAGCAUCGUUGUCGCGGCUUCGGCCAUCGCUGGCGCAGGUCACGCCGAUCCACUGGGAGCAGGGCCGGGACUCAUUCCAGCUCGCCAGGCUGCCAUUCCUGUCGAUAAUCGCAGCUUUCACCUCGAGCAGCGCCUGGAGAUCGCUCGACAGCGCCGCCGCGAGCCCUGGCAGCAAUGCCAGCGCUGCCGCUGCCGCUAGGGCUAGGGCUACAAAGAUUUCGAUCCAAGAAGAAUACCUGGAUUGCCCUCGACGAGACAUCCACAUUGCUCCCGGGGUCGCUGGUACCACGGCUACGAUAGGCGAAUAUCAUCGCCUUGCCCAUCUCGCUGACGAUUAAACUAUUGGAAGGCGGCACGGGAAAGCGAUAGAAUGGGGAAAUUUCGUCAACGCGGGCGGGCGCAAACACACUUUGAAGAAAAACUCACUCCUCUGACCCUUAUAGAACCCUAUGUCCCGCCACGUCAGCACAAAGAUAUUCGGCGAAUAAUUUCCGCGAUAAAGAUAAUGUUUAUGGUUAUGGUAAUGGUAAUGGCGGAGUAAAUAACCAAGAGUUCCGUUACCCAGGCCCACGACGAAAGUUACGAGCUCCAACAGCCUGCGUCUAUAAAAACUGGCCACUUUUUUUUUUUCUUGGUUCUCUAUUUUUCUCGCUCGUUUACUUUGCUCCAUGGAGCUUGCAAACAUCUCUGAGCUUCGGCUGCUGCUACUGCUGCUUCUCAUGGCUUCUUGCUUCGCGACCGACGAUCCGGCGACGGUGGGCGACAAUGAUCUCGUCGUCGGACGGGUUUUCUGCGACCGAUGCAUCGAGGGCCGCUUCUCCGAGUACGCAAUCUUCGUCAAAGGUAAGUCGUAGUCCUGGAUGAUCUUGUGAGAACUCUUGCUCAAUAGAACUUACCACUGGCGAUGGUUUGAUCGCGUUCCAGGUGCCAAAGUCGCACUCGAAUGCACGCAGCAAGACGGGGGGAUUCACGUCGUCGAGGCAGUGACGGACUCGGCCGGAGCGUUCGCCAUUCCGGUGGACGAGCCCGGCUCUUCGUGCGCCGUGAAGCUGCUGAGCACUCCCACUCCGCAGUGCAACAUCGCGGCCAAGCACGCACAGACGCUCAACGCCAACAUGCGCACCAAGGACAACGUUAUCUACGUCGGCCUUCUCAGCUUCCGGCCCGAGGAGCCGCUUCCCAUCUGUUCCCAAAGGGCUUACUACGCUUCGCCGCCGCUGCCACCCGAGUACUGCUACGCACCACCGGCAUACUCUUCUCCAGCACCUGUAAGUCGACCGCCAUCACCCCCUCCAGCGUACUCCUCUCCAGCACCGAUAAGCCGACCACCAUCGCCACCUCCAGCGUACUCUUCACCAGCACCGAUAAGUCGACCGUCAUCGCCACCUCCGUAUGCUUCUCCAGCGCCGAUAAGUCGACCACCAUCGCCACCACCGUACUCUUCCCCAGCACCAGUUAGUCGGCCACCGUCGCCACCACCUUACUCGUCUCCAGCACCAGUCAGUCGGCCACCAUCGCCACCACCUUACUCAUCCUCAGCACCGCCAGCUUACUCCUCCCCAGCACCUAUAAGUCGACCACCAUCGCCGCCACUGUACUCUUCUCCCGCUCCUAUAGUCCGCUCCUCCCCGCCCCCGCUCUAUUCCUCUCCAGCUCCCACAACUCGUGCUUCACCGCCACCUUUGUACUCUUCCCCGGCUCCGACUGUCCGCUCGUCUCCGCCGCCCCUCUAUGGCUCGCCUGGUCCAAUUGUUCGGGGACCCCCGCCUCCACUCUACUCAUCUCCAGCUCCAACCGCUCGACCAUCGCCACCACCACUGUAUGGUUCACCGGCUCCAACAGUAAGACCCGCGCCACCGCCAGUUUAUUCCUCUCCGGCACCGAUUGCUCGAGCUUCACCGCCCCCGUACUAAAGCAUCGAACGAGAUAGAUCGAUAGUCUGAUUAGCAAAAAAGAGUUAAGAGCAUAAAAUGAAGAACAGAACUUUGUUACCUAUAGAAGUCGAAUAAACUUUUUUUUGUCUUGACGCGAGAAAAUGUCUGUUCACAAGCUUCGAAAGCCACAGCGCGACACAGCUGUUCCACGAGAUAUAGUAGCCUAGUAGAAGAAGAAAAUUUGGAAUUUUACAGAGCACAAGGACUAGACUCUGAUCCGCAAUUGUGGAGGAGACUGUAGCACCACCACAACUAUAUAGCUGCUAAAACUUUGGAACACACCUGGGAACCCGAACCGUUAUCCAACACACUCUUUUUUUUUCCUUCUCCUGCCAGCUCUUUCAAAAGAUGGAAGUCCCUCAAAACAGCCUUCUCCUGAAACUCCUGGUUGUGGCCUGGUACGUCCGCACCAUGAGGCCAACACCUAUGCCAACGCCCAGGCACAUCCCCAGGCCGAUACCAACGCCUACCCUGACACCCGCGUUAAACCAGGACAUCUCCCCGUCCUCGUUCUCCCCAUACCCGGUUGCCUCGGGCAGGAAGAACUUGCUCAGCCCAAGUUCUUGGUUCUCAUUACUUGCUUGAAUCGUGUCACUCGCAUCAACCUGGAGCCACCGCAAAAGGGAAAAAAAAAGCAAACUUUUAGAAUAGAAAGCGAAGAAAAGUCUGGCCUACCAACCUCAGAGUCCGUAGCAGCUCUGUUCUGUGAGCGAUGACACUCCUCGUCCUCUGGAAUGGCAUCAAGCAUUCCACACCGGGUCACUCUCCGCCGGGCCAUGAGAUGAACAGUCCGAGUCAAGAUUAUCGGCGAUCCAGAGUGGGAGCCCACAACGCAGAUCUCCAUUGUCGGUGGUGUGAGGAAGUACUCGUGGCGGCCACGAGUGAAAACACAUCCAGCUGAUCCCAAAGCACAGUUGCACUCCAUAUUCCAUACAACGCUUCCGGCCUUGUUGGUGGACGAGGACUUCUUCUCCACCUUCUGGAGCACGCCACUGAGAAGAACUUCCUCCUUAUCGACAACCUCAAAACCAACAGACCCCACAACAUGCAAGUGGUCCGUGCCGACGUAAGUCACCUCCACGGACUCGGUGUCCAUCCUGUCCCUCCGGAGAGCCAGAGAAAUCUCCUCGGAGGGAGGAAUCCGGGCUCCAUUCACCUCCAGGUACUUGUCGAUCGUCCGCGAGGGGAAGCGCACCACCAGGGAGUCGGGAUUCCCAUCCAGCGGGCAGUAGCUCACUCGCACAUAGAGAACCUUGACCUCGAGCGAGCCCCCCCCUCCGAAAUAGCUGCCGCCCUCCAUCUUGCUGCUGCCAUGGGCCUCCGGUUCCUCCGCGGUGAGAUUCAUGACUCGUGCGCCUCACAAUCGGGGCGACUCCUGCUGCAUUUCACCGCCAAAACCGAGAGAAAUUUCCCUCUCUCUCUCUCGAUUCUUCCCACAGACCUCCAGCCCGCGAUUACACCCGGACUGCUGCCGAGCAUGCAAGAGGAGAUCCGGGCGGGGCGGAUGCAAGCACAGGCAGCCGCAACGAUCCAAACCCUAGGCGCAGCGCAACAAACAAAGCUCCUUCCCGCAAACAAACCAUGGAGGCAGCCCUAAUUUCAUGUAAGGCAGCAGGGCCUCAAUAAAUUGGAAACUCUGGGGACCGGCCAAACCGGUGGCUACCACGCGACCGCCACCGGCACGUGGACCUGAUGUCCUGCCGCCGUUUGUAUGGUCCGCCCAUGGCCGUGGGACCUGACCAUUAGAUUUUCUCUGGCCGCCAAUCCCAGCCGCCCAUGUAAGAUUCCUUUCUCAUUUCUAUUCUACUUCAUCCUAAGCCUGGCUUUUUUUAAUCCUCGAGAGCAUUGACAUGGUUUUGGUAUGUGCCUCGUGAGCUGACGUUUUACGUUGCCAAGCUUCUCGUGAAGAAAGAAAAAGAAAAAGAAAAAGAAAAAAAAAAAAAGCGUUCAAGGUCACAAGCUCAAGCUUGUUAUUUGAGGCUAAGGAGGAAUUUUUCCGGAUGCUCCACCAUAUCCUUCCAUUCAUUGCAAAACCUUGCGAUGGUUGCUCCGUCAAUAACCCUGUGAUCGGCACCCAACGUCACCUACGCAAUUGCCAAGGUGAGAGUUUGAUCCUCCUCAGAAGCUUCGAAACGAAGAAACUUACGCUCAUAAUCGAGGCUGGAUAGACUCGGCCCUCCUCAUUGAACCUCGGAAGCUUUUGGAUUCUUCCCACGGCGAGGAUGGCCGCCUCCGGGAGAUUGAGCACGGGAGAGCCGAACUUGCCACCAAUGGCUCCAAAGUUUGACACGGUUAUUGUGCCAUUGCUCACGUCGUCUGGGGUCAGCUUGUUGGCCGCGGCCAGCUUUGAGAGCCUCGUUAUCUCGUCAGCAAUCUGUUGAUUUGCAUCAAAGAAGCGAGAGAAAAGCUGUUUAGUCGCUCGUAAAGAACACAAGUUUGGAGUUUUACUACCUCUUCCAGUGAAAGCUUCUGGACUUGCUUGAUGUUUGGCACUGCCAGGCCAGAAUCAGUAGCCAUAGCGACUCCAACAUUGUGCCAUGCUGCAUAAAGGAUAACAGACAAAGCGCGAAGAUCAGAUAAAAAAAACUUGAGAAGACACUUACUCUUGCAGCGGAUUUCCGACGCGUCCUGGUUGAUGUUGCUGUUGAGUAUGGGGUACCUGACCAGCGUCAGCGAGAGUGCUUUGAUAAGAAACGGGAGGAAAGUAAGCUUGGAGCGAGUUUGUAAUUGAAGAUGAGCUCUUAAUUUGACAAGAGCAUCCACAUUGAUCUCCUCCAUGUAAUGAAAGUGAGGAACGGCUGCCGCGGCAGCCAUGGUUUUGGCCAUAAUCCGCCUGAAACCUCUGAAAAGAAAAGAAAACAACAUAAAGGACUGGUUUCUGGAAAGCGAAAAAAACAUCAACCUGACUGGGAUGACUUUAUCGUCUUGCAUCUGCUCGACUCUAUCUGCCGAAAUCUUGUCAAAGUCGGUAAUUUCGUCCGCUGGGACCGUUUCACCAGUCUCGGCGGGUGUCGAGCUGAUGCCGGUGAUAUCGCUUUCCACAGCCUCUUUUACCGAAGCGAUUUUCAAGACGUCGUCUUUGAGUACUCUCCCCGCUUCGCCACUGCCAGCAACGUCCUUCAACGCAAUGCCAAGCUGCCUUGCCAAGCUGCGAACCGCCGGUGUUGCAAGAACUUCUCGUUCUCGCUGGGAAUUCUCCUUCUCUUCGAGCUUGAAACUUCCAUCUCCAUCCGAGAUCAUUAUCUCCAGCAGAGUCUCUCCGACCCGAAAAAAACCAAAGAAGCAAGGUGUUAGCUUCGACUGGGCUAAGUAGUAUCUCUAUUACCUUAACCACGGCUCCGGGCAUAAAGUUCACUUUUGACACCUUUCCUUUAUAUCUGCUCGUGAUUUCGAUGGUGGCCUUGUCACUUUGGACCUCACAAAGCGGCUGGAAUUCCUCCACACAUUCUCCCUGCGAUCCUUUCAGACACCGAUUUUUAGUCGAGAACCAAAAGCCUAUACUAUGAGCAUACCUCCUUCACGAACCAUCUCACAAGCUCGCAAUCUACAAUGCCCUCGCCUGUUUGAGCCAGAGGCACCUCCACAAUGCCUGCCUCAGACACCACGUUCGCUGCUUCCCCGCUCAUCGUGCACAAAAAAUUCCGUUGCCUCUACAGUCCAACUUAAAAAUCAGAUUUUCCAGGACAAGGAAAAUCAACCACGAACAAAGAAGCAAACUUACAGGUGGAAAGAAUUUCUCAGCCCUUUGCUGCACAAACUGGAUCAAAGAAAGAAAGAAUGAAUGCCUCAGAUCAAAGAAGAAACCAGAGAGCACAGCAGAAACUUACAAUUUUUGGAAGCUGAUUUACACCAUCAAGUCUGGAUUGACAAGCAGCUGAAGAUCUCAGCAGCGCACGGCCUCUGAGCGCUCCAAGCACGCACAAGCGCCUCAUCUCUUGAGCUGAUUUUCUCGCGCAGCUUUGCUCGCCAAUCCCCAAAUCCAACAAUCCACCUACCUGUGCCUGUUCUCGUCAAGUCCAUUCACAAUUGGACAUGCGGUUUCGUCAGGCAGCAUCCGUGACACAAACUAAGAGGGGCAAAUUCAACCUGUGUGUAAAAAAAAUCAAAAAAUGAAAGAAAAAGCAUUACCGGAUGGGAUGAUAAUCCGGUUUCGUCAGGAUAGAAACAAGCUGACACGGAGCUUCGACCCUCACACGCCAUUUGCGGAGGCGACGAGGAAGCUGGGAAUCGAGCCUGAGACAGUUGUAUACUUCACACCAGGUAGGAUAGAUUCCAUUAACUCUUUUCAAAGAGACUAAAACACAGCUCAAACCUUGGCUAGGAACUUGCUUCUCAUCAUGUAUGCCCAUUCGAGGCCUGGACAGUAGUGGAGCGGGGGAUUGAAUCGUCCGUCAUCGAUAUCGUCCGGGAGAAAAGCCCCGUUUUUCAAGAGAAAACGCAUCGCCUUCUUGUUGCGUUCUUUCGCAGCGUUGUGGAGUGGAGUCCCUGUGAAUGGAAAAAUCGAAUCAGAGCCUUUUUUCUUGUAUGUUUUUGGUGGAAAGAGAGAAGUCGAAACUCACAUCCACAGCCACCUCCUUUGGUCCGAGCGUCGAUGUUUGCUCCUCUCUCGAGAAGCUCAUCGAUCACAGAUAGGUGGCCCCCAGCCGCAGCCAAGUGAAGAGGUGUAGUUCCCGGCGCCUUUGGGCCAAAAGAUGGCUCGUUUGGAUCAGCUCCAUUCUCCAAAAGUCGCUUCACCUGUAGAACAACAGAGAAAACGUUGUGAAGGAAAGCACGAAAGAGAGGAAUUCUGUAGAAAGUACCUCGUCAAGGUCACCCAUACGUGCCGCAACGUGAAGAUUAGUCCACCCACGAUCGUCUCUACUACAGACCUUGUCAUUCGCCUCUCGGAAAGAAAGCCGCUUGAGCAAAUUCCUCUUCUCACUGAUUUUCAUUGCCACUUGAAAGAGUGUUCCUAGAGAUCACUCUCUCCAGUCGAGCUACUGAUUGUCCGCUUGGAUUGUUGGCACAAAGAUGGGAUUUUUAGCGAGAGGUUCCAGGGCCAGGGACGCACGUAGAGUCGGAACGGGGCGAAUCUAGACUCCUGAACUCACCGAAAGAUUGCAUGGCGCCUCCUCCAAGCGCGCAACGAAAAUGUGCUCCAAACCCUAGAAAGCAAUAGCCACGAUUCCGAAUCAGUAUUGAUUCCGGAUCAAAUUUGAUACCCAAUCAAACAUUGAGCAGUCAGUUCUAGAUCUUUCUAAUUCUCAUUGUUGAAAAAAAUUAUACAACCUUUCAGCUGAGAAAUUUGUAUCUUUUCGAAAAACUGAUCUUUAGUUUCCGAUAAUCUUUGCUUUAAAAGUCCACACCUGCGCGUUUGAAAACGCGGCGCGCAGUCGGGGCCGUCCACGUGUACCGGAUGAUAGUGGCUGCGGACGGCCCCGAUUCGAAGCGGCUUUCUUUGUUUCUUUUGUCAGUGCCAGCGUUGACUGGCUAUGGCGGACUCUAGACUGCGUGCGAUUUUGUCAAGCGCUUGAGCUCUGCCGACCAAGGCUAGCCUAGGGCUUCGCCAGGCCUAUUGCCGAUCUCGAUGCUGCUGCGCCUGAUGCGAUCUACGAUCGUCGGGAGGAGGAUCACUGAGCAAUGUGCUUGAGACUGCGGCGCCGGGUAAGAUUAAUCCCUCUCUCUCCUCGGAUUCGUGACAAGAUACUCCCCUCUAGGCGCCAGCAGAUUCCUCCGCGGGCAAAGGCAAGAGCAAGCAAUCCAAACGAAGGGUUCGCCAUGGAUUCUCUUGCGUCAAAGGGAGGGCCAGCCAUCCCAUGGAAGAUUUCUAUGUCGCCGAGUACCAGAUUCACAGGAACCACGAGCUGGGCUUGUUUGCCAUCUACGACGGGCACCUCGGCCACAGUGUUCCCGAUUACUUGAAGCGCAAUCUCUUCAACAACAUUCUCAAAGAGGUGACGAAAACAAAUCCAUCUUGGUUUCACUCUCGCUGAUCGAUUGAUCGCUACAAAACAGCCAGGAUUCUUUACAAACCCGAGCAAUGCAAUAAGGAAGGCGUACCAGGAGACGGAUCAAACCAUACUAGCCAAGGCCCCGGAGCUGGGCUCCGGCGGCUCUACUGCAGUGACUGCAAUUUUGGUAGACGGAUUAAGAUUACUGGUGGCCAACAUAGGUGACUCCCGCGCCGUGCUGAGCGAGGCCGGCAAGGCUCGCCAGCUCUCGGUCGAUCACGAGCCCAGCAACGCCUCGGAGCACAAGAACAUCCGGGACAGAGGCGGCUUUGUUCUCAACAUGCCAGGUUCUGUAAAACUUGUCUUUGUUCUUCCCGUCGAGCUUGGCAAAGUGAUUCUCUUCCUACUUCCAGGCGAUGUGCCUCGCGUUGAUGGCCAAUUGGCCGUAGCUCGAGCUUUCGGCGACAAGAACCUCAAGGAUCACUUGAGCGCGGAGCCGGACAUUGUCGACGAGCAGCUCUCUCCAGACGCGGAGUUUUUGAUACUCGCGAGUGACGGGCUCUGGAAGGUAAUCAAGAGUCGGAUUUUGCAUCGUUUGUUCACGCGCUACAUGCAGGUGAUGAAGAACCAACACGCUGUGGAUUUGAUAAAGAAGAUCAAGAACCCAAAAAACGCCGCGAAGAGGUUGACGGACGAGGCCCUGGCGCUCAAGAGCAUGGACGAUAUUUCGUGUGUCGUUGUUCGUUUUGUUUGAAAAGAUUGAUUGUAAGUAAGGAGAAAGGAAAGCAAGAAGAAAGGUUAACUCACUGUAUAAUAUAAACCCAUGAUUCUUCCCGCUUGGAAUUCAUCUCUGGGGUUUCUCUCCAGGCGGGCCAUGGAAGGAAGGGGGAAAGUUUGCAAGCGGUGCAAGACAACAUUCGAUCCCGCGCUCAACACGUCGGGAUCGUGUCGGUUCCACAGCGCCAUGUUUGUGUGCCGCCGACACGACGAUCAAAAGAGGCAAGAGAACAAAAACUAGAGUAGGAAAAUCAGUGAAAUUAAGAGCGCCAUGCCAGGUACUACGAAUUGGGGCCCGACGAGCCGCCCUACGACGCCAAAUUCUACGAUUGCUGCGGCGCGGAGGAUCCGCAUGCCCCCGGGUGCAAAACCCUCCCCCACAUUUCUUACGACGACAAAGAUCAUUGAAAAUUUAGGGCUCUUAGUAGAGAGGGAUAUUCUGUCUACACCUGACAGAAUAUCCAUUGGGCUUGAGAGGGAUAUUCUGUCUUGUGUGUCUGUUGGCUUGCUCCUUGCACUGACAGGUGGCACUACCAGCGAGUGGCACAUCACCUUCAAAGCAAACCUUUUGGUUUUUCUAGGGCUCUUUUUAAGCUCUCUCCCUCGGCCUGGUAGAAGCCGGAUCGAGGAGCACUCGUGCAUUUUUAUUUCCAUUCGAUUCAUUCAUAUAUACAUCGCUGAUUCGAUCAUCCUUGAUCCCUCCAAUCUUCUUCCUCUCUUGAUUUUCCCUCUCUCGCGAAUUCGGCGAUGGCGGCCAGCUCGUGGGUGGAUCGCAUGCGCGGCGUGUAUGGAAUGCCGCUGCUGGCGCUGAUCGGCGUGGGGUUUUGGGUGCAGGGAUUCCGGUGCUUCCCGUGGCUGGCCGUGAAUUACCAUCUCAAGGACGAUCUCCAGCUGAAUCCGGGAAUGCUCCAGUUCUUGCAGCAAAGCACCAAUUUGCCAUUUCUUGCCAAGCCACUCUACGGCGUUGUCUCCGACGCCAUCUACAUCAAUGGAGCUCACCGGGUUCCAUAUCUUAUCUUCGCAGGUACGUAGCUUUUUCGAUUCCUUUCUCCUUUCUACGUCUUCUUUGAUUCUCUUGCGCGUUUUCUUUGAUGUACUGUUCUUAGAUCUUCUUCCAAGUUUCUUCUAGAUAGAUUCUUGGUCGGUGUUACCAAUUGUUCUUAGAAAACUUACAUUCUUUCACUCCUUGCAGGCCUGAUACAACUUCUCUCGUGGGGAAGUAUCGCGUUUCUCCCCAAAGUCGCCAACUCGAUCGGCCUCCUCGCGCUCUACCUCACUCUCAGCAACUUUGGCGUCGCCAUUGGCGAGGUCGCAAACGAUGCUCUGGUGGCCGAGUGUGGCAAGCGACGGGGGAGCUCCCCAGGUGAGCUCCAGUCCUUCUCAAUGGUCGCCUUUUCGCUGGGGGCAACGCUGGGGAACUUGCUGGCCGGGGUAGCACUGAGUAAGCUCCAAACCACGACCAUUUUCUCGAUGUUCCUCAUGGUGGUGACGCUCAACUUUGCCGUCUCAUACUCCGUCAGCGAGAAGUCGGUGGUUGCAUCGCAGGAGGUCGCUGCAAAGGGUGACAACGACAAGGAUCAGCCAAGGAAACAUAAACGCAAAAGCAUGACACAACAGGCUGUGGAGAUGGCAAACCUGGUGAAAAGGCCGGACAUACUCCGUCCACUUCUCUGGUUCACCUUGUCGGUCACCAUCAUCCCUUCGUUGCUCGGCAGCGUCUUCUACUAUCAAACCCAGGUUCUCCGCGUCGACUCGUUCUACCUCGGCCUCUCCAAGGCCGUGGCUCAGCUCGGGCUUCUUUUGGCUUCUAUAUCCUUCAACAGCUACCUCAAGGACGUUCCACUCGCGAAGCUGGCCGCAAGCAUCCAGAUCGUUCUAGCUUCCUCGAUGCUCCUCGAUGUUCUCCUCGUCAAGCGGCUCAACUCGCGGCUGCUGGGCGUGACGGACGAGUACUUCGUGCUCUUGUUCGCGGGACUAGUUGAAGCCAUAGGCCUGUUCAAGGCUCUUCCCUUCGCGGUGUUGCUGGGAAAGAUUUGUCCACCGGGAGCCGAGGGGACGCUCAUGGCUGUCUUCUCGGCCUGCCUGUGCCUGGCCAACCUGGCGAGCGGAUACUUUGGAGUUGCUCUCGCUGCGCUACUCGGUAUUUCUUCACAGAACUUCGACUACUUGGCGCUGGGGAUUGUUGUAGAGGCUGCAUUCACGCUCGUGCCGGUGUUCUUCACUGGCGCCUUGCAACAACAACGGCUGAAGAAAGAAGAAUAGACUCUGGAACUGAGAAGUGUAAAUACUGAGAUGGAAAAUAAGUAAAUUACCUAUCAUACAAGUACAAGUUCCAUUGCUCACUGGAGCAUUUGCGUCCAAUCGUGAGGCCUCCACUGCUGCAGGAACUCUUUCACAGCAGUCGCUUGAUGAUCGAAUGACGCGUGCUUUGCCUUCUGGUGCAUCGUCUCCUGGGGAAGCUUGAGCAUGCCGAUGAGAACGUUCCGACCAAAGUUGCUGUCGAAGUCCUCUUCGUUGUCAAUCACAUGGCAAUAGCCGCCUUCCAGCCCGAACUCCACAUGAAAGUACGGAAAGUUCUUUGGUAUGGAGGAGCGAAGCCCCUUGCCUCUGGUGUCUAUAAGCUUCUUCGCGUUGUGCUGGCUCCAUUCAUCUUCGGCCUCGUCGAUUGCCUGGUCAUUACACGGUGUCAGUGAAGUUAUUCCGGCAGUGAUCGACGUAAGGACUUGCCUUUUUGAAGUAAAGCGGACCUUGCUGGAGUACGUUGGGAGGAACGGGGAUGCAUUCGACCAGACAAUGCCUACGUUGCUGCGAGAGAUUCAUGGCCGUUUCUAGAAAUAUCACAUCCUUCUCUUGCUCCUUGAACAUCUUGAGCAGGCACUUUUUGAAGUUCCGAAUCUCAUCCCAAACAUCGUCAUCAACGUUCCUUGUAGAGCCUUCGUGCUAUUAAAUCAAACGCGAGCUUUAGCAUUUAGUGAAAACUUUGAAAGAAAGAGCUUACUUGCGAAGGAACAAUGUAGCAAUGUCCCGGUACAAGUGAAGACGUAGGAGGAAGCAUCAAGUACGUGAAGUUGCCAAUCGCGAUUGUUAGAUGUUUCGGCCUCGACGAGUUCUCAAAGCAAUACCGGCAGCGCUCGUUCUGUGUCUGAAUACGAUUGUACUGAGAGACCGCGCUGUUCUUGGCCUUCGUCAUUCCCUUCCUUGCCGACUUUUUCUUAUAAGCAUCGCUUUCGAUUCCAACGUCGUCGUACUCAUCGUCGGCUUGAUACCUCUCCCUCGAGCGAUAAAUCUUUGACGCAAGGAACGCAUCGGAAUCCUUGUUUUCUUGAGCAUGUCUCUGGAUGGCAGUGAUUUUCUUCAUCGCCGCAUCAUCGCCGCCAGCCGAAGUUUUAACCUUGUCACCAUCGGAAUCUUUGUUUUGCGCACGUCUCUGGAUUGCAGCUAUCUUCCUCUUCACAGGAUCAUCAUCAGCUGUCGGUUGAUCGACCUCUGGUCCCUUGCUUUCGCGAGCACGUCCUUGGAUUGCCGCAUCAUGACCUGAUCUGUCAUAGUUUGAAUCCUUGCUUUCGCGAACACGUCUCUGAAUGGUAGCGACCUUGUUCUUUACAGCAUCAUCACCACCACCACUCGAUUGAUCCGGCUUGUCUCUAUCCGUCUUCUCCUGCAUCUGUUUAAACUUCUCCAUAAAGCUCCCAUCGUUCUCAAAUAUGUUGUAAGACGCUGCCGCGGCCUUGAGGACUGCAGAGUCCUCGGAGCGCAUGGUAUCCCUCCUCUGUGACUUCCAUUUGAGUGAUCCAUCCACCCUCGGAGCUCUCAUCCGAGAACCUUCCCUCGCAGACCGAGAAUCUUCUUUCGCAGGCUCAUCCUCUGAGCGUCCUGCCUCCUGUUCCUGCUCGUACUUACGUUUUCUGUCGCGAAUAGCAUGGAGAUGUGCGUUGGAAUGUGCCGCUCGCUUGUUACUUACGCGAGAGAACGCAUCAAACGAUCCCCAUCGAUCACUGAUAACCUGUAUCCCCUCAAUUCAUAAGCCACGAGAAGUAAAGAGGAAAAUGGAAGAGAAACACUUACAUCUGGAAGACUCGCUCCUUCUCGUGCCGCACGCUCUUGAGCACGCUUUAAUCCCUUGAGAAGCCAACUAGCACCCCCAUCGCCGACACCUCCGGGAACUCGUCGAGCUACAUGUUCUUCUUCUGGAAAUCCUUCGCCGCCAUCUUUCCAGUGUGGAUUGAGCUCCUUUGAAUUCGAGGGAGGUUUCUGUUCAUUUCAUCCAUGCGUGAUUGUGAGGAAACGAAAACGGGACUAGAAUUUCUAACCUCGUCGCGCUCUGCCUUGGAAGGAGCAAUCUCUUCCUUGGGGACGGCUCGUUGAGGCCUGCUUGGCGCCACUGACAUCCAUUCCAAGCCAGCGUUCUUCCGCUUGGCAAGCAUCUCUGGAUCAUCGGCAUCGGCCGUCUUUCCCUCGCGAUCCACAUCCUGUAAGAGAGCUCGGCGGAGUGAGCGCUAGAAUAAUCUCGAUCUACGAGCUUACAUUUGAAGACGACGCGACAGAAUCCCUGGAGACGAAUCGCACCGCGCCAAGCAUCCUGUGCCUCUCUGGGCAAAUGCUUCUAGGGUUCUUCACGGAGAAUAUUCUCAACAAUUCCAUAGUCCGCAUUAGGGCUCUUAGGCGCGAUGGAGUGUUUGCAGGCCGCGAGCUCGUUCCCGCUUGGAUUUCGGUAAGCCAGAUGCAAUUGCCUUCUCUCAGCACCUAAUCUUCCGGUCCAGGAAGGCGCCCAUGGCAGAGCAGAUCGAGAGCCCGGAUUACUGCUCCUCGAGCCUUAGCAGUGGAGAGCAGGCCGGAUUUCUUUCUUCUAGAGCUCGCAGAGAAGCUCGAGGACAGCGUGAGCAAGGGUGCUGGGGAGGAGAGGAGGAGCAAUCUCGUCUUGAAAGCCUUGCGGGAUGGAUCGGCCGAGGUCGCGGUUACGUGUAAGUGGCCUAGCAGCAAAGACGAAGCUUACAGGUUCACAAACGUGAAGUUUCUCAAGGAUUCAGAGAUCCAGCCGCUGAUAAUUGGUGGAGAUGAAGUGGAGAGCUUGAGCUUUGAGGGCAUGGAAGACGAAGAAGGUGAGAGCAUCAGGCUGGUCUUCGUGGAUGGGAUCCUUUCUCCGGAAUUGUCGAAAGUCGAAGGAGUUCCUCCUGAAGUUUACGUUGGAAGUAUACUCGCUGCUCCGGAUGAGAAGCUCCAGAAGUACGUCGUCCCCAGGAUCUCACAGGCGUCAACCUUGAUAGACAAGGAUGCUUUCGUCUCCCUGAAUGGAAUUGGAGCGCUGGAUCUGGGUGUGGUGCUGGUUCCCAAGGACUUGAAGCUGGAGAAGCCUAUCCACGUUGUCUACUAUUCGACUCCUCGCAAGAACUUGAAGAACCAGCUUGAACCUCAAGUCGUGUCAAUGACAAAUCCAAGGCUGCUCGUGGUGGCCUCCGAAGGAGCAACGGUCCAUCUGGUUGAGGAGUUCAGAGGAGGAACAGAGGAGAGCUCUCACUGGACGAAUUCCGUGUGUGAGAUUGUUAUCGAGUCGGGAGCUUCAGUGUCGCACGACUUGAUACAAACUCAAGGGCGAUCUUCUGUGAGCAUGAAAAAGACUUAUGUCUCACAGGUAAAUUCUCUUUCUCUUGCCGCUAUUCUGGAUGAUUGACAUUGGGCCUUCCAGGAGAAAGCUAGUAGCUACAAGUGCGUGGACGUGGAACUUGGGAGCAAGCUAAGCAGGCACAAUCUCCACAUUGAGCAGCUUGGUUCCGACACUAAAACGGAGAUGUUAACGUUCCUGUUGUGCGGUCGUGAUCAGGUGCAAGACCUCCAUAGCCGGUUGAUACUGAACCAUCCCAGAGGCUAUGCAAGACAACUCCAGAAGUGCAUUGUCAUGAACUCAACAGGACAUGGUGUGUUUGAUGGCAACAUUCGCGUAAACAGGUAAAAUACUCUUUUUUUCUUUAUUUUCUGCUUUUGCUUACGCACCAAGUCUGGAUUCAUAGGGAUGCGCAGCAAACUGAUGCUGGCCAGUUGAGUAGAUCCCUGUUACUUGCUCCGAGAGCUACAGUGAAUGCGAAGCCGAGCCUUCAGAUAAAUGCCGAUGAUGUCAAGUGCACCCACGGUGUAGCCAUCAGUGACUUGGAUGAAGACCAACUGUUUUACUUCCGAGCUCGUGGGAUAGAUGCUCAAACAGCACGCAGUGCGUUAGUGUUCUCCUUUGGAGCUGAAGUGAUUGAGAAGCUGGAGAGUAAGACGAUGCAGAAAAGCGUGGAAGAGUUGCUUAAAAGUUUGCUGCUUCGUGAAGGAGCUAUAUGAUUCGCUAUAAGACCAGAAAUUUGCUUGGUUGUUUUAAUGUGAAAAGCUUAGCUUGGUGGCAAAUGGUUCAGAUAGGAUAAAUACUAUAGGAUCAGUUCAGAUCUACUGCGAUUGCCCCAAUCGAUGCCGUCAUUUCUAAAAUAUUUUGGGCCGGCCCAGAAGGUGGGCAUGACACCUGUUUGUUUGUUGUGCGCCCUAGGAGGUGUAAAACUCUUCUUUCCUCCGCCCUUGCAGCCGCAAAACUUCUACCGCGGAUGAGGACACCAGCACCAGAGGUGGAGGCCCAGGAGCUUGUGCCGCUCGAGUACGGGGAUGUUCACGGUUCAUGCAAGGUUUAGCAUCAUCCCCUGUUGCCAGUGUAUCACAAGGUAUACUCCCAGGAAUUCCUCUGGGACUAGACAGCUCCACACGGCUCAAUCGGUCAGUAUUGCUCUAGCCCACAAAUCAUUCUUCACAGUGAGCAGGACAUGCUGCAAGAGAGCUCACAUCCUAGAUCAAUGAAUGGGCACUCCAGAAGUGGCCAAUUUUCCAGUGGUCAGGUGGAGCAGGGCCGAAUCAUUCAAUCUCUUUGGCUCCAGCGUGCUUCUCAUGGGAUCUUCCAGGGCAUUCUUUGCAAGCAUGCAGCGCAUGGUGCAUGGCAAUCCACACAAUAUCAAUGGUGUUGAAGGAAUUUGUUCAAGGGAUUGGCAUGCGGUGUUCAAAUGGAUUAACAUGGUCACAUGCAUUAGUGGAUACUGUGGAGGAGCUGAAUGGUUCCAAGAUUCCUAAGUUAGUUUUUUCUUAUUUUACUUAUGUCUUUCUUGAAGCUGUUCCAAGUGUAUCUCACAAUCUUGAGAAGAGUAAAAACUCUUUCUUCAUUUCUCGUGCAACUCUUCUAGAUUGCAUCAGCAGGCUUGAAAGCUUUGCAUCAUCCCGGUCCAUUCCAGUUCUAGAAGUUCCAGGCAAAGCCAAGAAGAUUAGGCAGUAGUGUCUUAGAUCAAGAAAUUUGCUAGGUUGAUGGAAUUUCAGUUCUGCUUGGGAAGGCUCC